GUGAGAGAUGUAGAAGAGUUGGCAAGGGAAAGUGAUGAAGAAGAUAUGCUUGGAAGAUCACAAUGUCUUAGACUUAGUUUUUGGAGCAAAGGAAGGUGGGUAAUGACUUGAGACCAAUCAUUGGCAUUGCUCAGGUUAGUGAAACUGAGAUCAACCUCUUUCAAACGUGAAAGAUGGGAAAGCCACUCAAGUUUUCCAACAUUUAAAGCUCUACCGUUGCCACCCAAACUGAGAGUCUCCAACAUUGAAAGAUUUCCAAGUUGAGAAGGAAUUGGACCUCUAAAAUUAGCAUUAGAGAGAUCCAGUAAUUUCAAUUUUUCCAGAGAACCAAAAAACUCUGGGAUGAGACUUCCAUUAAAAUCAUUACUACUGAAAUUUAAAGAAGUCAAAUGAUGUAGUUUAAGCAGUGAAGGGCUAACUGUACCUGCUACAACCAGAGAUUGGUCGCUAAAAUCGAGCAUUUCAACGUAUCCUGUAAAGCUGUUGCAAUAAACGCCAUCCCAAAGACAGCACUCCUCCUCACUUAUCCAUGAAGAAAGGGCGUCGUAGCCUGUAGAAUACAUAGCUUGAAGGCUGUACUUAAAUUCAAGUAGCGCUCUUCUCACACUCUCGUUGCACUGGCUAGCAUCGGUGCAUUUCUCCUGAAGAAGAAGACAGGAUAUUGCAAAAAAUAAAACAAGUUUAUGAGACCUCAUACUUGACAUCGGAAUCAUGAAAUAUGAAGCAAGAGCAAAUGAGAUUGUGUUUUGUUGUUGUAAUUCUGAAUGCUAAUAGCUGAGGAAAGGCCUCUUUAUAAAGACCCAGCUUGACUGGAAUAUGAGCAUUCAUACUAUAUGGAUGUAUUUAAUUAUUUAAGAUUGUUUCACAUGAAGCAAGAAAAUAAGAAAAGUAAUUGUAGCAAAUCAAUUAUGGGUAUUGAUACUAUUAUCUCUCUAAUUGAGGAUUAGGCCUGUUUUGCUUUCAUUCUUUUUUUUUUAUAUUCUUUAAUCAAUGAGUUUUUUUUUUCUGAAACUACAUCGAUGGGAAAUUUUAAAAUAAUAUAAAAAAUUAGUAAAAAGUUAAUUUUUUUAAUAAUAAAACCAAUAUGAAGAAUACUUAAACAAUUAGCAUCAGCUAUGCAGCUAAAAACAAACUCCAACAACAAAGCCAAUUCAGAUAUAUAAAAUUAGUACAUAAACUUAUUCAUUUCUGUAAGACUGACUUUUUUAUCCCAAAUUGAUAUAUCUCAACUUUUUUGCUAACAUAGUACUACUGACCAAUUGUGCGCCACCACAUGACGCUCCUCUUGUAUCUUUAUUCCUUUUUUAUUUUAUUUUAUAUUUUUCUUUCUUUUUCUGGGUUUACUUCUACACUUCCAUCUUUUUUCUUUCUUUCUUUUGCUAACCGCCCUUUCAAUUUUCCCUCACUUUCUCGGUAUCUAGCACCACCAUCAAUCAACCCCACAUCUCUUAAAGCCUUUUUGUUUUCCUCCUCCGCCACCAUCAACUAAUCCCCACCUCUUAAAUUUUAACUUCAUAUCUGUUAUAUUGAUUUAAUUUUUCAGUUUAUCUUAUAAUUUAAUGUGGGAUGAUGAGUUUACCAUACAAGACAUGAGCUUUUACAAUACUAUUCCGUUGAUGAAUAAUUUCUAUUUAUAUGUUGAUGUUAGAUAAAAUCCAAGCUUGACCCGAAGUGUAAUAUAUUUUUUACACUCAUAAACUCAUUUCUUUUGAAAAAAUUAUAUAUAUUUAUAUAAUUCUUUUUUGUACAGAAUGGUUUUUAGAAUGAACUGGGAACAUUAUUUGAACUAGAAAAUCAAAAGCUUUUGAAAGUUAUCAGUGACGGACACGGUGGAGACCAGAGACUAAUGAAGGAGAAGAAGGCCAAAAAUUUAAAUAAUGCACAUAUGUUGUUCAGGGAAAUUAUUUCACAAUAUUUUUAUAUACCAAUAACAAAAGUUGAUAAAGAACUUAACGUAGGGUUAACAUUACUGAAAAAAGGUGUAGGAAACUUGGAUUACGUCUUAAUAGUUUACAAACCUUAAUUCAACUAUUAUUUUUUUCUCAUAUUUUCUCAGGAAAUAAAGAGAAAAAUUGAAAAAACAGAAAAAAAAAUUGAAUGCGAAAAUCAAUUAACAAUUAAAUGUUUUUAAUGAUUUAACUUUUUUUUAUAUAUCUCUGAUAAUUCAAAAUAAUCGAUAGGAUUUUUUUUAUUAAAAAAUGUAAAAAUGGUAAGUAUUUAAGAACGAAUUAUCAUUAAAUGGAAAAUGAUUUCAAUUAAUUCUAUUUUAUUAAUUUCAACAUUAUGGUAUGUUUGAAUUUUUAUUUUUUAAAAAAUAAAAUAAAAUAUUUAAAAAUUAAAAAUAAAGGUAUAAAAUAAUUAUUUUCCAUAAUUUAAAAUUUAUAUUAAUCAAACAAUCUAAUUAUUAACAUAAUAAUAAAAUAUUUUAAAGAUAUGUAAAAUUUAUAUGAUAAAAAAAAUUAAUUAUCAUUACGUCACUUAUUGCUUUUGAUGAGUAACUUGACUUUGUAAAAAAAUUAAUUUUACUUAUUUAAUAAUUCAAAUAUUAUAAUAAAAAAUUUCAAAUCAUAACUGAAGUAUUUUUAAUAUAUUCAAUAUGAAAUAUAUUGUAAAACAUGAAAUAUAAUUUUACUUCAUCUAAUUAAAGGAAAGCAACAUUACACAAAUUAAUAAUUAAUUAACAUAAUUAAAAUAUAUCAAUUGUUUUAAUAAUUGAAAUAUGGUACUAAUAAAAAAUUUCUCAUAGUUUUCAAAGCAUUUGUGAAAACUAGAAAAAAAAAAAAAGGGAUAUAACGUUAGGCUGGAUCUUGAGGUAUUAUAAAAUCUUGUUUUAGAAUUCUAGAUUUUUAACUAGUAAAACGUGAGUUUCGACAAUAUUAACUUGGCAAAUCUCUUCCAAGUUUUUAGAAAAUAAUUCUCGUUGAAGAUAUUUUUUUUAUAAAAAAACACUUAAGUGAUUACUUUACUUUGCAACUGAAAAUUUUAAAUUGUUAACUUUGAAAAUUGUGGUUUUAGUUUGUGAAAACACGUAAUUUACAAUUAAGCAAUGCUAAUUAUAUCAAAAAGUCAAACGAAAUAAAACAAAACCGAAAAACAAGUCCAAAAGUACCAAUAGUCCAAAAAGUCCAUAAUAGACAAUAAAUCUCUUAAAAACCGUUUUAUUAUUGAAAAUCCGAUCCGAGCUCCUGCAUGUCGUCUAAUCCUAAGUUUAUUGAUUACCUAAGAAAAUAAAAAUAUAUGGUAAGCUAAUAAAGCUCAGUGUGCAACUUAGCCCAUACUUAUAGAUUAGAUUGCAAACAAUCAUACAUAAAUCAUGGAUCGAAUAAAUACAAAACAUGAUAUAUCUUGCGAUGCAACAAGACAGACAUAUCAGAUACAGAUGGCAUGGCAGAUCAUGUGAUGCAACAUAUUACACAUAUCAGAUAUAGAUAUUGUAACAUCUCAUAAACUAGGUUAGAAGAAAUUGAGUUUUGAAACCAAAAGUGGUCAUCCCUCGAUUUUGAGUUUAGAUUUUGGAAGUUUUCUAUAGGUGAAUUGACUUGGUUCAGUGGUUAAGUGUUCUGGUUAUGUAUGUAAGAUUUUAGGUUCAAAUCUCAUCUCUUGAAAUUUUGAUACUUUUGAUUAAACUCUAUUUUUGGACAUGUGGGUUAUAAAUUAAAUUCAUUCAAUUGAUAAUAAAAAUGAGUCUACUAGUUCAAUGGUUAAGCUUCUGUUUAUCCUCUGGCCUUGUGUUUGAAUCCCCAUAAAAGCAAUAGGGAACGUUUUAUUUUUCAAUUACUUGGCAUGGUAGUUAUUUUUAGUUGAGUAAUUAAACUUCCAAAACCCUCCUGGGCACUUAGUUUUUCCCAUUUCUGUUUCCUUUUUUUCCCCGUUAUUUCUUCAAUUUUUCUUUGUUAUGAUUUCUUUUAUUCAAACUUCCUUUCUUUUUGCUAUUUUACAUUACAAUUUCUAUUAUGUUUUGCAUUGUUCUGUACUAUUCUAUCCUGUUCUACUCUAUUUUGAAUUCUUUAUUUUGCUCUGUUCAGUUUUGUUCUGCUAUGCUACCAUUGUUCAAAUCUCUAUGAUACUCUAGAACUGUUUCGUACUGGUUAUACAACUGUUCUUAAGUUCUCCGCAUUUUCAUGAAUUAUAUGUUACAAUAUGUUUAUUUGUAUUUGAGUUUGGUUAUGCGCGAUGCUUGUAGCUCAUCUUUUGUUUUAUCUUUUUCUGUGCAGGUAAACAUCUGACUUAAGAUCGGACGACUUAUUGGUGCUCGGGUUGUUUUUACACUGAUGUAAAUAUGAUUUGAUCUUUUGGAAUUGUAAUAUGUUUUUGAACUUGUUCUGGUUUUGGCUAAUUUCAUCAGUAACUGAUAAUCUCUAACACAGAGUUACAGAAUCACCUAAAUCAAUUGAAAUGAAUUUUUGAUUUUCAAAGUUAAAACUCUAAAAAUAUUUCUGCUACAAAUCAAGUAAAGUUUUGGAUGGUUUCUGAAUACUCAACGAAAUCAAUUUUCAGUACGUUGGUGUAACCCUUCUAGAUUCAACUUAAACUUCUAGGUGGAGUUUUGGGCGUUACAGAUACAGAUCUUAGCCCCAUCUACUACACACCAUCUUCAUCCAUCUCUAUACACUAAUUAGGGUAAUAAAUACCUAUCCAACCCCACACACUAAAUAAGUGAUCAUGUGUCACUAUACAGAAUUUGCAGACAAGGCAGCCAGAAAUAAUACGGUAGAUGGAGCAAAUCAUUAAACUGCCAACACUUCAUCCAUCACAUAAUUAUCCCACCCCAAUGCACAUGCUAAAACAUAAUACAUACUCAGACGCACACAAAUGAAUCAUGCUUUAACAGAUUUCUUAAAUUCACAGAUCAAACGCAAUAUUUACACUAUAGACAUGCUUUCGGAUGUUACACAUACAAUAUCAAUACUUUAGAUUUCAUAUAUCAGAGUCCUACAUAACACAUAACAGACCCUAAUAAUUAGCUAACCUCGAAACACACUUUAAAUAUGACCAUAAUUGAAUUUAUUGAAAAUGGGUCCACACGGCCUACUUGGCCCAGCCCAUGUAGCCCACACGAUUGUGUGGCGUCAAUAAUAAACCUUUCGGCUUCAGGCCGUUCACAUACUUUCAGGAUUGAAGUUACACACCUUAUUGUUUUUUGAAUUGUUGUCACAACAGUAGCACCAAAGUCUGUAGACAAUAAUCACCACACAAACGAUUAAUCACAUUGCACAAUAUUUGAAUCAAAAUCUUUGGUCCAACCUAGAUUGGAGCAUUAGAUCAAAUGAAUGACUCUAACGAAACAACCACUAAACUAAGUUAUUCAGACACUUACCCAAUGCUAAGUCAAUUCCUAAAACACUUCUAAUUGUCGUAGAAGUACUUGUCGUACGAUUUUCACCUAAAUAGAUUUGAAACGAUUAAACCGAAACUCCACACCAACUCACAUACUUCAUAUAAUAACACUUAAAUGAAUAUGAAUAGAAAAUACUUAAUAACCAAACGUCGCACUAAACCAAUAUACCCUAAUCACGCACAACCCACACACAGGGAAACAAAAUAGAACGAUGGCAACAAAUCAACAAGGGUGAUAAUCGGAAUUAGGAGAAGAAACAGAUAAUUGCAGAAGUAGAACGACAUGAGAGACUUUGUCGCAACAAAAUGGGGAAAGAGGGGAAGUGGGAGAGAUGGACGACAAUUAGUGGGAAGAUUUUUAGGAUUUUUUUAUAAUUUCAAAAAGAAUAAUUCUAACAAAAAUCCUAUCUAAUCUAAAUAGUAACCUGUUAGAGUAUUAUGAGGAAGUCAGGCAGUUGUCAGUUAGUAAGCAGUUAGUUGCAGUCAGUUGUUAAGGAAGUUACAGCAGUUGGUUAAUUAGUUAUUUCAGUUGUGACUACUGUAUAAAUACAUACACUGAUAGCUCUUCGAAAGAUAAGAAAGAUAUACAAAAUUUUCAGUAUUCUUCUCAUUUUAGUUUAACAUGGUAUCAGACGUUAGUUUUUUCCUGGGUUAAGUGUUUCUGUCGUCUGCAUGGAUCCCUCAUUGAGCCCUUCUGCUGCUCACUCUGCUGUUCCCACGAUGGCUUCUCACCCAUCGGCUGGUAUUAUUGAUAGCAAGUUCUUUGCUACCAAGAAGGUUAGUAUACUUCUUGACGAUUCCAGCUAUCUUUUGUGGCGUCAGCAAAUUCUUUUUGCUGUAAAAGCCUAUAAACUGCAAAGGUUUCUGGAUUUACAUACCAUUCCACCACCCUCGACGGUUCUUGAUGAUAAUGGGGUGCCUCAGGAGAAUGUUGAUUUUGAAAGAUUUGAACAGCAGGAUAGUGCAAUUGCUUCUUGGCUGUUGACAUCGGUUAGUCCGACAGUUUUGCCUCAUCUUAUUGGAUUAGAUACAAGUGCACAGAUAUGGAAUGCUAUUGUAUCUUUUUAUGGAAGCAAGUCUACUUCGCGGCUAAUGUUCUACCGUCGCGCUUUGCACUCACAACGUAAAGGUGAUCUCUCCAUGCGAGAAUUUUUAAUGAAGGUCAAAGGCUUUUGUGAUAACUUGGCUGGUUGUGGGGAAAUCAUUAGCGAACAUGAGCAUAUCACCGCGAUCUUAAACGGGCUACCAGCUGAGUAUGAAUCGAUUGUAUCUAUAAUUGUAGCCAGCCCAACGUUGUACAGCCUUUAGAGUGUAAUGACUAUGUUGGUUGAUGCUGAGUCUCGACAGCAAGUGUUACUGGCUGAGGUCCCUAGUUCUGCGAAUCUUGCUUCACAACAGCCCACCGAUUCUGCUACAAAAAAUUCCACACCAGUUUAUCGGUCAUCUAACCCUCGUGGUCGAGGUCAUGGUCGAUUGUCCAACACACGGUUGCAAUGUCAAUUGUGCGGCAAACUGGGACACCUUGUGGAUCGUUGCUACUACCGAUUUGAUUCGUCCUAUAAAAGCACAAACUACAGACCUCCUCCACAAGCUAAUGUGUGUAUGGCUCCUCCCUCUAUGGCUCCACCACCUAUGGUUCCAUCACCUACUUGGACAUAUCAGGUACCCUACUCUCCUAGCUGGCAAAAUUCCCUUGUUAGUAACUCAGUGCAACAGGGCUCAUCUGUACUUGCGACGUCAUCUCAUGCAAUGAUUUCCACUCCGGAAACGGUUGGAGAUUUGGUCUGGUAUCCUGAUUCUGGGGCAACACAACACCUCACUCACUCGAUGGAGUCCCUUGGUGAUUCCACCUCUCGUUCUGGACCAGGUAGGGUGUAUGUGGGCAAUGGACACUCUGUGCCUGUGUUGUGUUCUGGUCAGUCAACGCUUAUUACUAAGACACGCCCACUUUGCAUGAAGUCCUUGUUAUAUACUCCUGAUAUAACUAAGAAUUUACUUUCUGUGUCUAAUUUCACCAGAGACAAUCAGGUGAUGUUUGAAUUUCGUCCAUCACACUGCCAAGUUCGAGACCUAAAGACUAAGGAAGUGCUUCUUCAAGGUCCAGUCCAUCAGGGCCUGUAUAAGUUUUGCUUCAACAAAAGACAUAUGAUUAGUCAACCUCGAAAUCAGCCAGCUAGAUGUUUUCAGACUCAUGCUCCAACGUCCCUAAGCCUGUGGCAUGCUAGGCUAGGUCAUCCCUGUAGAAAUGUAUUGAUUAAAGCAUUACAGAGUUGUAAUCUGGUUUUUGAUGACAAUAAAGAUUCUCUUGCAUGUGUGGCAUGUCAUUUAGGCAAAGAACAUAAACAGCCUUUGUUCCCCUCUGAAACUCGAUAUACUGCGCCAUUGCAGCUUGUUGCAGCAGAUGUCUGGGGUCCAGCACCAGUACCGUCUAAUGGGUUUCGAUAUUAUGUAGCAUUUACAGAUGCUUUUACAAGAUUUACAUGGUUAUAUUUUCUGCAUAAGAAGUCUGAUGUUGCUGCUGUUUUUCCUCUCUUUCACAAGCAAGUUGAGAGGAUCCUUGAUAUGAAGCUUCGGUCACUUCAAACAGAUGGCGGGGGUGAGUUUCAAGCACUUCGAUCGUAUCUUGCUCAACAUGAAAUUUUGCAUAGACUCACCUGCCCUUACACGUCAGCUCAAAACGGCUUGGUUGAACGCAAGCACCGCCAGAUAGUUGAAACUGGACUUUCUAUGCUUGCCCAUGCAACAAUGCCAGUGUCAUAUUGGAACGAUGCUUUUAGCAAUGCUGUGUAUCUCAUUAAUAGGUUACCAUCAGCACCCUUGGGAUAUGUCUCUCCUUAUGAGAAACUUUUUCAAAACAAACCCAAUUACUCUUUUCUUAAAACGUUUGGCUGUUUGUGCUUCCCAAAUAUUCGGCCAUACAACCAAAAUAAACUUCAGUUUCGAUCUGUUCCUUGUAUUUUUCUUGGCUACUCUACCAAUCAUAAAGGGUACAGAUGUCAAGAUAGCAAUGGUCGGGUUUACAUAGCUAGGCAUGUCACGUUCCAUGAAAACCAACCUGGGUUUCAAAUAGUUUGUCUCAAACCGCCUUCAGUUUCUACAACCCCUUCUUCUAGCUCCAAAUUAAUGGUUUUAGCUCCUAGCUUUCAUUCCCCAGUACAAUCUCAAAGUCUUAGCCAACCUAGUUUGACUCCACCAUCAUGCCUACCUAACACUCCUGUCAUUUCACACCAUAACCUCCCUAUUUCCCACACGUCACAUACUCCAUUAAAUGAGUCAGACUCUCAAUCCCAAUCUAUCGCCAUCACUGUCCCAUCUCCCAUUCCUACUCCCCAAAACACCCAUGCUAUGGUAACCCGCAGCAAAGCUGGCAUUUUUAAGCCAAAGGUAUACAUGAGUGGUGUUGACUUACCUUUUGAAGUUCCUCCAGACGUGCAUACUGCUAUGGCACAACCUCUCUGGAAGAAAGCUGUGCUUGAUGAAUUGAAUGCUCUUGUUCGAAACAACACCUGGACACUGUGUACUCUCCCUCCUCAACGAAAAACUGUUGGCUGUAAGUGGCUAUUCAAGGUGAAAAAGAAAGUAGACGGUACUGUAGACAGGUACAAAGCUCGAUUAGUAGCAAAAGGCUUUUCUCAACAUGCUAGGACUGACUUUCGAGAUACCUUUAGCCCAGUAGUUCGAGCUGUUACUAUCAGAAUGAUCCUUGCUCUUGCUGUCAUGAAUGGAUGGUCACUACGACAGGUGGAUGUGAAUAAUGCAUUCCUCAAUGGUCAGCUUGAUGAAGAAGUGUUUAUGGGUCAACCACCAGGCUUUGAAGUUUGUAGCACUGAUGGUCAUAAAUUGGUAUGCAAGUUAAACAAGGCACUGUAUGGGUUGCGUCAGGCGCCUCGUGCAUGGUUUUACACACUUCAACAAUUUGUGGUGAACAAGUUGGGAUUUUGUGCGUCAAAGGCAGACCCUUCGUUAUUCAUUCGGCGAUCUGGAUCAAGUCAGCUAUUUCUCAUGGCGUACGUCGAUGAUAUUAUACUUACUGGUGACUCCACUCAAGCUGUUGAUGAUGUGGUAUGUCAGUUGCACAAACAGUUUGCACUUAAAGAUUUGGGUCAACUCAGUUUCUUUCUUGGCAUUGAGGUGCAACACAUGCCUCAUGGAAUGCUUCUCACUCAGCGAAAGUAUGUUCAGGACAUUCUUAAAAAAACAGGGAUGGAGGGUGCUGCUAAUACACCAACACCUAUGGUCAGUUACCCCAAACUCAAGCUAGCAACCUCUGAUAGUGAUCAGACAGUUGAUGAACGUCUCUAUCGUAGCACUAUAGGGAUGCUGCAAUAUCUGUGUGUUACAAGACCCGAUAUCUCAUUUUGUGUAAAUAAGCUAAGUCAGUAUAUGAAUUCACCCGGAGAAGCUCACUGGAAAGCCGUUAAGCGUGUUCUUCGUUACUUAGCUGGUACAAUCGAUCAUGGGUUAUUUUUUUCACGUGGACAGUUCAAGUUAGUCUUUUAUUCUGACGCAGAUUGGGCUUCUUCUGUUGAAGACAGGAGGUCUACCACAGGGUAUGUUAUCUUUCUUGGACCAAACCUAAUAGCAUGGUGCUCGAAAAAGCAACCCGUUGUGUCCAGGUCGUCUACAGAGGCAGAAUACCGCAGUUUGGCUAGUUGUGUAUCCGAAAUAUUGUGGGUUCGACAACUGCUAAAUGAGGUAGGAGUUUGCAUGGCCCAUGCACCAACAGUUUGGUGUGACAACACGCCGACAGUAUCCAUGUCAGCUAACCCAACAAAUCAUGCCAGAGUAAAACAUAUUGAAAUUGACCAUCACUUUGUUCGAGAAAAGGUGGCCGAUGGAUCACUUCAGGUUAAUUUUGUUCCGUCUGCUAAUCAGAUUGCCGAUGUGCUUACUAAGCCUCUAGCUCCCAAGCAGUUUGUAGGUCUGCGCAGUGCUCUUCGAGUAACAACUAAAGAUGAGUCGAUUGUUUUAGAAAACAGAGAAAAUCGGGAGAAUGUUAGAGUAUUAUGAGGAAGUCAGGCAGUUGUCAGUUAGUAAGCAGUUAGUUGCAGUCAGUUGUUAAGGAAGUUACAGCAGUUGGUUAAUUAGUUAUUUCAGCUGUGACUACUGUAUAAAUACAUACACUGAUAGCUCUUCAAAAGAUAAGAAAGAUAUACAAAGUUUUCAGUAUUCUUCUCAUUUUAGUUUAACAUAACCACCUAUCAGAUUACUCAACUGUAGAAUUUUACUGAAACUUUGACUUGUAUGAACAACAACAGUAGAGUCUAAACAAAAAAUUAUUUCUCUUUGCACACAUAGGAUCCAAACACAAAACAUUUGAGUAAGACGAAGUCUUACCAUUGAACCAACGUGCUCAUUCUUGUCAAUAGUUAAACAAAAAUAAUAGAUAAGCUAGAUAUUCAAAGUUAGGGGUUGGAACAAAUAAUAAUCAUAAUAAUUCAAAGGUAAGGAUUUAAACAUAUAUAGGACCUUAAGCACAUAAACAUCACUUAACCAUUGAACCAAUCUAAUUCACUUGACAUAAUUUCACAAUUCAAAAACAUAAAAUUUUGAAGCGUUACAGUUAAGCUUUUCACAACUCAAUUUUUAAUUUGGGUAAACCCAUUAGUCACUCUAAAAUUGAUUAAAUUAAUCACUCCACUAUAAAAUGAUAACAGAAUGUUGACUAAACAUUUCUUAUUUUGUUCACAUUAGAAUUACAACAAACUACCCUGUUAGUCACUUUAAAUAGGAGUACUAAUUCCUAAUUUCGACAUUCCAAAAGAAUAUAUGUAAAUGCAAAGUUAGUCUUCUAUUACUAUUUUAAUGGUAGAGUGACUAAUUUGAUCAAUUUCUUUUUUAAGUGACCAAAUUAACAAAAGAAAAAUGUGACCAAAAUAAGAAUAACCCCUAGUUAGAGUGAUUAAUAGGAUAAUUUCUUAACGGUCAAUAAAUUCGAAAUAAUAAUUCUUAAAUAUUAUAUAAUUAAUUUAAUAUAAUAGAUUAUAUUAUUUAUAAAAUUAUUAAUUUAAAGACCAAAGUCUUUGCAUGAUCCUAUAUCAUAUCCUUAUGUUAUAUAAUUGGGAUUUAGCUGUCAGCCUUUUUCAUUAGUGCUUGAAUUCUUUAAUAUAAAAAUAAGAUGACCAUAAAAUACGUUGUGAUUUUUAGCACUAAUUAAGGAUUAUGGAUGUUUAUGCUUUCAAUUUUCUCUUCUAACCUCCACUGUUUUCUUCUUUAGUUAAAUCACAUCACUAUAGGGUGAAAUUUGUUAGGCCUACUAAACCUUUAAUUCAUGACUUAGACUUGCUUUUUGUUUCAAUUAAUGUAAUUUACCCACAAUUCUCUUCUUAGUUUCAUAUGAAGCAAAAAGAGAUUGGGUCCUGAAUUCUUCAAUAAUAUGAAUCAGAAAAUGUCUUUUACUUUUUGACACUAAUCACUAAUUAAGAAGCAAAUACUGGGCCGGUUUUGCUUUUGUUUUUAUUUCCACUUCACCUUUAAAAUGUAUUCUUCACUUUUUCUUACUAAUAAACUUUUUAAACACGACUUAGACUUACUUUUUGUGUUAAUAAUUUCAACAAGUUUCUUCUUAGUUAUUUAUAAGGUGAGAGAGAUUGAUUGCUAAGCGUAACCUUAACAAAUAUAGUUAAUUUAUUAAUUUAUACAUCAAUGAUCAAACUCAUAAAUCUACCUUUUUCUAGAUUUUCAUCGUAUUGAGUUUUUUUUAUAUUUUAUUUUACGAUUUUUGUUACAUAGUUUUAAGUUUAGUUUUAGUUUUUAAUUUUAAUCCUCCUUUGUUUUUAUUUUCUUUUAUUAAAGAAAUAGAAUUAUCAUUUGCCUAUAUGGAUUCGACCCUACUCAUUGUUAUAUUGUAACGCCCCAAAAAUUUGUUUCUUGAAUUGUUAGAAUUAAAUUAGUCUCUAUACAUUAGAUCAAAUAGAAAAAUGAUUCUUCUAUUAAAAAUUUCACCCAUUUCUAUUGUUAAAAACUGGUUCCUUUACAUCAACAUGAGGUACACAUGGUACAUCACAUGUUAUUGUCUAAUUAUUUUGUCAGUCACGCUAAUUUUUAAUAGUACAAAUAGAUGAAAAUUUUAAGAGAGAUGACCAAUCUGCUCUUUAAUCUAAUGUAUAGGAACUAAUUUAUUUAUUUUAAUAAAAAAGACAAAAUACAAUAUAACUUUUAGUACAAAAAUCACCGUUAUACUUUCACCAAUUUCAAGCAUGUAUUAAAUUAAGAAUAGUAGUUAUACUUAUAUUCAACCAUCAUCUUCAAUCUCAAAAAUCACAGGUAAACCUAGUAUGCUAUCCCAUAAUAAUUUAUAAAUAUGUACACUUUUAUAUUGGGAAAGAGUUGUAUUAUUGGCAUGAAACAAUGUAGGGAAACUUGUGAUGGAGACAUUUGCAUAAAUUAUAGGUAUAUAAGAGGGAGGGAAUGGUAAAAAGAGGAUGAUUGAAACUGUGCAGGUCAAAGUUUUGUAUGUAUAUAUAAUUAAUGAAGGGACCCCAUUGAAGCAUAGAGUGUAGCAAGGGUGAACCAUUUCUUGUGAGUAUUGUAUGAGUUAUUGGGAAUUUAUGGGAAAUUUUGCUUUGCCUUAAUAGGGAAAUUUAUCUCUUAUACAAUUAAUAGUAAGUUUCAAAUGUGCUAUUUAGUUUAAAAAGGUUAUAUUAGACUCCAAAUUUUAGGAAAUAUAUAUGAUUUCAUCAAAAUUUUUAUAUAAUUAAUUAUUUACAUGGAUCAAAAUUAAUUUCGAUUUAUAACGCCCAAAAAUUUAUAUUUUGAAUUGUUUGAUAAACUACUAAAAAAAUUAAAUUAAUUAAAAUUUAAUUUUUCAAUGAUUUAAAUUUUUAUAUACCUCUAAUAAUUCAAAAUAACAAUAACCGAUAGAAAUUUUCUAUAAAAAUGUGAAAAAUGGUAUGGAAGAACUAAUUACCAUUUAAUGGAAAAUAAUUUCAAUUAAUUUUAUUUUAUUUAUUUCAAAUUUAUAGCACGUUUAAAUUUUUAUUUUUUAAAAAUAAGAUUAAUUAUUUAAAAAUUAAAGAUAAACAUAUAAAAUAAUAUUUUUCAUAUUUUAAAAUAUAUAUUAAUAAAAACAAUUUAAUUAUAUUUUUGUAAUUAAUUUUAAAUAAUAUAUCAAAUUAAUUUAAUAAAUUAAUUUAUAAAAAAAAUAUUUUUAAUUUAAUUACAUAACUAUAUUUCAAAGUUAAAAUGAAUAUCGAUGAAAGAAAUAUAGGAAAAAUAAAUUGCAUUAAUAUAGCUAUACAUGCAUUUAUCAUUUUCCACACUAUUGAACUCUUAAUGGACUUGCUUUUAAUUUAUUUAUUUUGAGUACAAGUUUUUUUUGGUGAAUUACAAGAGAAGGAUAAAGCCUAACAACAAUGUGAUUAGCGUGACUCGAACCGAGAUCACAUCUGAAACAGUAAAUACCCUUACUAUUAGCCCAACACACAAGUUUCUUAAUUCAGCAUUAGUAAACUAUUGGCUUUGAGUUAUUUAAUAUAGUUCUUACUAUGUAAUUGUUGAGUUGAAUUACUUUAAAUAAGAGUCAUUUCCAUUUUUGACACUCCAAAAAAAAAAAAAUACAUGUAAAUGCACAGUUAUGUUGUGUUUAGUAGUACUUUUUAAAAACACUUUUGACAUAAAAAUCAUUUUCGAAUAAGAGGAAUGCUAAACAAGCAACUUUUGAAAGAAUUUCUUUGCUUUUCAAAAGCACUUUUCCCCAAAUUGAGAAGUUAAAAUUUUUAGCUUUUCUCUCCCAAAGCACUUUUGACACUUUUUAAAAGCAAUGCUAAAUUAGCCCUCAGUCUUCUAUUACCAUUUAAAUGGCAGAAUGGCCAAUUUGAUCAAUUUCCUUUUCGGGUGACCAAAUAAAUAAAAGAAAAUUGUGACCAAAAUAAGAAUGACCCUUAUUUAUGGCAAAGCACCAAAUAUGAAAACAAAACAAUAACCAUUGCAACUAUUCUUUUUCAUUGAUGUUUUCUGUUGUAAUUACAAAUAUUUAAGUUAGUUGAAUAUUGAUAUCACAUUCAAUUGCUUAAAAUAUUUUAGUUUGUCAAUUAGAAUAAUUAAAUCUAUAAUUGUUUAAUUAAUUAUAAUGCUUGCGUUGAAUAGCAUGAUUAGAUAUAAGUUACGUAUGCAAUUCAUGUUACAUGAACAUAUGAUCUAUUCUAAAUGAACCUCGCUUAAUGCUACCAAUAAACUGAUUCUUAGACUCGAACUGGUAGUUUAUUGAUAAGGGAAAUAAUUUGAAUGAGUUUCGUCUUUAUUAUCAACAAAGUAAGAAGAAAUUGAUUGCUAAGCGAAAUUUAUUUUUUUAAACGUUGGUAACGAUAAAAUUUUUUAAAGGACCCCAACAAUAAUUUCUCCCUAUAAAUAUCAGGUUCUUUUUUAUUAUUUUUACUCAAACCCAACUCUCUUUAUUUUUUUCUCUACUCUCAACUCUCCCAAUUUUCUAAAGUUUCGAUACGGAAUUUAUUUCAGGAAAUUAGCUUUUGACUGUUUCUACUUUGCCUUUGAUUUUUCACCUCCACUAUUUUCUUCUUUAAUCAAUUACUUUACAAUAUCCCAAUUAUAAAAUUGUGAUUUGAAUUAUACUUAAAUAUAUUGGAUUUUGAUUUUGAUUUGUAAAUUAAAAAAAAUUAUAAAAGUGCUUUUAAUUUAAUAACCUUACUUUAAUUGUUUUCACUUUAACCAUAGAAAUGAAUAAAACUAACAGUUGAAUGAAACCUCUUUCUCACAUCAUUCGCUUGAAGACCCAUAAUUAAUUCCAUUUUAAUCAUCUUCAAUUUUGCAAUGCAACAAAAUUUCGUGUUAAAUGACUAAAAACUAUAGAAUUUAUAAAAUAUUAAUCAAAGGAAAUUAAAAAAAAGAGAGUCUUUGUUGGGUUAAAGAAUUUGGUGUCAUAAAAAAUAAAUAUAAAUACAUAUUUCCCCAAAUAUGAAAAAAAACCUAAAAAUUACUAUCUUUUUAUUAUUUAAUCGAAUAAAUUGAGUGAUUGGUUAAAAACUAAAAUUAACUAAAUUAAUUAACUAACAAACACGACAAAGAACAAAAUAAGAAAAUAAAUGAUUAACAAUCAAUAAGUGAAAUAAUACAUAGGAAAGAAUUCACCUAGAUUUUAUCUGUCACUAUCAAUCUGAAUUACGCAAUUUCUUUACUUAGUAACUUGAUCCAUAGAAAUCCAUGAGUUAUGCUAAUAUCUUUUUCGAGAGUAAGGGCAACUGACUCUAGGUUGAUUAAUUAAAACCCCUAUUAUCACAUUAACUCAUGCUAUGGAUUCUUAUUUUAUAUUUGACUCUAAUUUGAUAGAUUUAUGUCGUCCUAUUUCUAGUAUUGCAUGUAACUCCACUCAAUUAUGCAAAACAUACUAUUAAACAAGGUCUAUUAACCUCCUCUGGUGUAAGCACAUCAUAUAUGGAUCAAUAAUCUAAAAGUAUCAAACCAAGAAUUAAGCACACGUAAUUGAGAACAAGAUCUAAGUAUUUGUUGCAUAAAAUAAAAAUAAAAAGACAGAGUCCAUCAUAGGGUUCAUCUCCCUUGGAUAUUUAGAAAAUUAGUUCAUAAUUAAAAAUAAAAACAUCCAAGAUAUAGUAUAACUGAAAGAAAUAAAGAAGCUCAUGAUAAUCUCCUAAGAAAUCAACUAGGAAUCUUCAAUCUUGACGGAAAUCUGCUUUAGAAUCGGCUUGAAUGGUGUUUUUUUGAAUUGUUUUCCUGAAUAUUCUAUGACUUUCCCUUUUAUCUUCUUAUGUUUGUCAUAUAUAUCCCUUUUAUCUUCUUAUGUUUGUCAUAUAUACGUCUUAGAAUGCUCUAAAAAUAAAAAAAAAUGUUUUCUCACAAUUGAAGGUACAAAUAUGCGAAAUUGACACAGCCUACCACAUUUCUUUGUGGUAGGCCAUCUGAGUCACAUGGUUGUGUAGCUAGGCCAUGUGGAAGGGGUCAGCCUAUGUGGCUCUUGUAACUUGUUCCGAUUUUUUGAUUUUCGCUCAUUUUUCACUUCUUUUGGUCUCAAAUGCUCUCCUAAGAAUAAAAACAUGAAUUUAAAAGAUUAAGAGCAUAAAAUUCAUCAUUAAAAUCGAAUAAUCACCCAAAAAUGCACUAAGAAUGAGGUUAAAACAUGUUACUUUUAGCACUUAUCAAAGCACAACAAAAUAAUGCAUAUAUACUGUCAAAUAAAAUUUGAUAUCUGAUACCUGAUAAAUUUUGUUUGUGCAUUGGGUGGGACUUGUGUAUAUCGGGGAAGUGUGAGAAAAUAUAUCUUUGUCGUAUCUAGUGGCACAAUCACACAUAUCUUUGUAAAAGGCGAUAAAUCGCUAAAUGAACUGGCAACUAAGCUGCAAAUAUUCUGAAAAGUGUCAUACCGACACUAAACGAUGUGUAGGGCUGGAUGGGUAUUCAAUACCCUAUAUGGUGUGUUGGAUGGUUGAAGAUGGUGUGUAGCGGAUGGGGGUAUGAUUGUAAAUCUACAUCUAUUGUGUUCUAAUACGGUUUUUAUUUUUGAUAUAUGUCUGAUUAAUUUCUAUUGAUAAUAUGAUAUGUUACACACUGAGUUUUGAAACUCAUUAUUUGUUUAUUUGCUACUUUCAGGUAACCCUCAGACUUAGGAUGGGCGGGCGCGACAAGAGUUUGGAUAAAAUAUUUUACUUUUCUUAUGGUUAAUUAAAUAUUAGGAUUGUUGUGUUUUGUUAUUUUUGAGUUUGGAUGUCGUUUUUAACAGUUUAUUGAUUUUCAAAACACGACUUAUGUUUUCCAAAUCCAAAUUAACUAAAAAUUUCGCUGCAAAUAAAUGUGUUUAAUCGUGUUUUCCAAAAUUGGACUUGACUGAGAUUUUUCCCGCAGUGCAACCGUAAGCAUUUUUAAAGUAUAAUUAAUCAAUAAUUUCCUCGAAUCUAUUAAUGAAAUGUUUUUUUAGUAAACUGGAUUUUUACGUAACGACCAUAACUUCUAGACCGGAAUUGGGUGUUACAAAAUUACUUUUGACAAAAAAAUAAAUAUACAAACCAAAUAUAACAUAAACGUAUUACAAAAAAAAUGAAAGAAAUUAGAAAUCAUCAAAAAGACAAACAUGUCUUAAUUUAUAAGUUUUUUAUUAAGAUUUUCUCACAUGCAGGAAAAACCACCUUCAGUUGCAGUUCUAAUCACACUUGAAAAAUAAUAAUAUACAACUUUGUUAUUUAGUUAAGGAUAUAUUUCUCAACAUUGAAAGAACAUUGUUAAGGAGUGAAGAAAGUCAAUUUAUUACCUUGUUGAAAGACCUUUGAUUCUCCUCACUAACCUUGUUUUGAGCAAAACAAAUGAAACAUAAACCCAAUCCUUUGCACUAUCCAAGUAACGAUAAUAUGAAUGCCUCCAUGAACGCUUGAAGAACACAACACUGCAAAACCCCCACAAACCCACAGCAAAUCCAAGUCCCAUGCCAGUGUAAAACCAUUUCAUGAACUCAUCACAAUCUUCUUCACUUCCUACUGUAGGUUUUCCAGGAGGUGGUUCCACCAUUGAGCAAUUUGGUGAAAUAGGAGGACCACAAAGUCCUCUAUUAUGGGAAAAUGACGAAGGAUCAAAGCUCUGUAGUUGAGUGCUGGUUGGAAUUUUUCCAGACAAGUCAUUAUAAGACAAGUUCAAGUUGCUUAGAAAUGUUAAUUCAGACAAGCUUGUCGGGAUGUUUCCUGAAAACUUGUUUCUUGACAGGUCAAGCACCUCUAGUUGUCUUAUAUGCCCAAUCUUUUGAAGAAUUUUUCCGUUAAAAAGGUUUCUUGACAAGUUCAAUACAACCAGUUCUUGAAGACUACUUAAUUCUUCAGGAAUCUCUCCUGUUAAUUUGUUACAAGAGAGAUCAAUGGCCAGUAGCAAUCCAAGUUGUGGAUAGCUUUGCUUUGUUCCCUUCCAUGUAAGCAAUGCCUCAUCAACAUAUCUAACCUGAAUGAUCCAUAUAGGCUCACCAUACACACCCUCCAGAGAUAAAAAUCUAGGUCCAGUAUCUAAGAUGUGAUGCUCAAUCCUUCGAUCUAAACUCACUUUUUUUGCCAUGGAAGUGAAAUUAUUGAGGCAUGGUGGUAUGGUACCAGAGAUUUUAUUUAAAGAGAGGUCCAAGAUUUGUAGAUAUUUCAAUCCACAAAGUUGAUGGGGAAUCCUUCCCCUGAACUGGUUCCCUUGAAGGCUAAGAAAAACCAACGAUGAAAGCUUCUGACCGAUCCACAUAGGUAUUUCUCCUGAUAAUUUAUUAUCACUCAAGUCGAGAAAUUUUAACUUGGCACAAUUCUGUAAAGAUGAAGGUAAUACUCCAGAGAAUUUAUUACCACGUAGACUUAGCAUUUCAAGAGAAACCAGAGAUCCUAAGGAGCUUGGAAGUGAGCCUGAGAAACUAUUAUCACCCAAAUUCAAAGCUGUUAAAAACGGGAAACUUCCAAAACAGUCUGGAACCACUCCAGAAAAUAGAUUAUUUGAGAGAUCAAACAAUGUCAAAUAAACUGCACCAGUAAAAUUGCAAAUUGGAGAGACUGAACCAGUAAACUUGUUUUUGGAAAGGUUAAUGGUCCCCAUAUUGUAGUCUAAAGAAAAACGUGGUAAUGGUCCUGAGAAAUUAUUAGAGCUUAGAUCUAGAUGGAUUAUGUGGAUAGAAUUAUUUGGAAAAGUUCCACUGAUCUGAUUGAAAGACAUGUUUAUGUACGAUAAUCCCUGAAAUUUGUCCCAAAACCAGUAGGGAAGAGAAUCCGAAAUUCCUGAAGCAGAAAUAUCAAGGUAAUCUAUUGAAGAAAUUUCAACGUUAGGGUUUAGGAUGUCCAUUUGAGUCCGAAGCCAAUCUGGGAAACGAGGCCCUAACUUGCAAGAGCAAAGCAAUAGUUGACUCAGUUGGAAGGAAGGAAUCCAUCCGGAGUUGAAUCUCAAAGUCAAAGAAGUGUAGGAUAAAUCCAACUUCUGUAAAUAGGUGAAAUUUGAGAAAUGAGCUUCGGAAAUCACAUCACCACCAAAAGAAUUCCCUGGAAGCCGCAAGACUCGCAGGUUGGAAAGUUGUCCAAUGCUUUUGCUUAUGGAUCCAUUUAAAAGGUUGUACCCAAGAUCUAGAACCCUAAAAUCUGGUAGUUUUCCGAUUUCAUUCAACCCAGAAUCGCCCCUAACUUGAUUCUCAGCUAGUACCAAAAGAUUAUCAUUCAGAUAAAGUUCUUGAAUAGCCUUCAUGUUCCCGAAAGCUUCUGGAAUUGGACCUUUCAACUGGUUGCUUGAGAGGUCAAGUGAAACAAGGUUGCUGCUAACAUUAAACAACCAUGGAUAUAUGGCAGAAGAAGGGAGAUUAUUAUCAGAGAGAUCGAGAUAGGUGAGAGAUGUAGAAGAGUUGGCAAGGGAAAGUGAUGAAGAAGAUAUGCUUGGAAGACCACAAUGUCUUAGACUUAGUUUUUGGAGCAAAGGAAGGUGGGUAAUGACUUGAGACCAAUCAUUGGCAUUGCUCAGGUUAGUGAAACUAAGAUCAAGCUCUUUCAAACGAGAAAGAUGGGAAAGCCACUCAAGUUUUCCAACAUUGAAAACCCUACCGUUGCCACCCAAUCUAAGAGUCUCCAACAUUGAAAGAUUUCCAAGUAGAGAAGGAAUUGGACCUCUAAAAUUAGCAUUAGAGAGAUCCAGUAAUUUCAAUUUUUUCAAAGAAGCAAAAAACUCUGGGAUGAGACUUCCAUUAAAAUCAUUACUGCUGAAAUUUAAAGAAGUCAAAUGAUGUAGUUUAAGCAGUGAAGGGCUAAUUGUACCUGCUACAACCAGAGGUUGGUCGCUAAAAUCGAGCAUUUCAACGUAUCCUGUGAAGCUGUUGCAAUAGACUCCACGCCAUAGACAGCACUCCUCACUUAUCCAAAAAAAGGCGUCGUUGCCUGAAACACCGAGAGCUUGAAGGCUGUGCUGAAAUUCAAGUAGCGCUUUUCUCUCACUCUCUUUGCACACGCUAGCAUCGGUGCAUUUCUCAUGAAGAAGAAGACAAGAUAUUGCAAAAAAUAAAACAAGUUUAUGAGACCUCAUACUUGACAUCGUAAUCAUGAAAUAUGAAGCAAGAGCAAAUGAAAUAGUGUUUUGAUUGUUUUAAUUCUGAAUGCUAAUAGCCGAGGAAAGCCCUCUUUAUAAACACCCAACUUGAAUGGUAAUGGUAGCAAAUCAAUUAUGGGUGUUGAAUUACUUUUGGUCAUUAUCUCUAACUUGAAUUACUUUCAUUCUUUUAUUUUUGUUCUUUAAUCAAUCUCUUUACUAGUCCUUUCAAUGAUGGGAAAAAUAAAUUGCAUUAAUAUAGUUGAAACAUGUAUUUAUCAUUUUCCACACUUUAAUGGGCGACUUAGACUUGCUUUUAAUUAACUUAGUUUCAGCAAAAGUUUCUUAUUUCAGCAUUAGUAAGGUAUUGGCUUUGAAUUAUUUACUAGUAUUAUAUAAUUAACUUGUAAUUGUUGAGUCGAAUUACAUUUUUGACUGUUAGAGAUUAAAGAUUAGAGUUUUGUAGCAAUCUGCUCGAAAUUUCGGUAUGGAAACUUGUACUGAGUUUAUUUUAUAGGGAAUUAUACCCCCUGACAUCAAACAAUUUCAUCUUCAACACAUGCUAACUGGGAUUUCCGGGUUACGAUGUCUGAAAAUUAUCCUAGAGUCUGAGGUACAUAGUUAGGGUUGAAAAUGGAGGAGGGAGAAAAGGCACGUAGGGGGCUUUUUUAGCUAUCAAACGGUUUCAUGUUUAAGAAAUGCUGCCUCAAGAUUCCCGGGAUAAAAUUGCAUGCGGAAGAUAUUCCACCCCACCCCCCGCCCCCCCCCUGGGCACUCUACUUAUUUGUAAAAUAUAUUGUUUAGCACUAAUGAGCGAUUAAGGAUGUUGUGCUUUCAAUUUUCUUCUUUAAUUAAUCACUUUAUGACUCCAAUGUGAAUAAUCUCUCAAUAACGUGUCAUAGGGUGAAAUUUAUGAGUCCUACUAUACCUUUAAUUGAUGACUUAGACUUGCUUUUUGUUUCAAUUAAUUUAAUUUACCCACAAUUUUCUUCUUCAGUUUCAUACGAAGCAAACGAACAAUGGGUCUUGAAUUCCUCAAUAAUAUGAAUCAGAAAUUACCUUGCAAUUGAUGUGUCCAAUUACUUUUUGACUAUAAGCACUAAUUAAGGCCUGUUUUGCUUUUGUUCUAAAUUCCACUUGAGCUUUAAAAUGUAAAUUUUCAAUUUUCCACACUAGACUCACUUUUUCUGUUAAUAAUUUAAUUCCCCUCAACUUUUUCUUCAAUUUCAUAGGAAGCAAGAAAAGCAAUUGUCUGUAAUUAACAAUGUGAGCUGAAUGUUAUUGAAGUAUUGUAAAAAAAAAAAAAAACCAACCUAGAAGAAGCUGAUAUCUAUACCUCCUGACAUCAUAAUUAUCAUAAAAAAAUAAUAUUUUAUUUUGUUAUUUUGGAUUCUACAUGUCAUUAUCUACUAUCAUAAAAAUGUGAGCCUAUAUUAAAAGGUGAUCUAAUUUGGUUAAGAUUUAUUGGGCUUUAGUAUGAGCCGAAUAUGUAUAUAUACCUUAGUAACUAAUUUCUAAUUAAUGAUGGGCUGAUUAGAAAGUAGGUUAAUGUGCAAAAGUUAUAUAUUAAGGUUAUGGUUCUCAAAUUACACAUGUAUAACUUUUCUAAUAUCUCAUAUUUAGAGAAGAGAGGGUCGCAUUUUUUGAAUUACUUAUGUGCUAAUUUGGAAGAUCAAAACAAUAAGAUCCGAAGAUUUCAAAAAAGCGAUAGAUUCAGUAGGCUUUCACAUCUAGUUUUGUUCUUGAUUUAUUCUUGAUGAUUUGACAUGACAGAUUCUGGCUUGUUAAGUUUUAAGUUAGAUCUUGUUUUAUGGUUCUAACAAGUGACAUCUGAGCCUCAUCAUGUUGAAUCAUUAAGAACAAAUUGAUUCUGUAUUUUUGGAUUGUGUUAAGUUUAAUUUUGAGCUUAACUUAUUCAACUAAAUUAUUUAAAUUAUUGAUUAAUUUCUGAUCAAUUGAAUUUUAAUUAGCCUAAAUUACAUUAAGUACAUUCCAUGCCGUAAUAAUUUGUUUUCGCUCCAAUUCAACUGUUUUAUGUUAAUUUUAAGCCAUGUGCAGGUUAGGGGCAUUUGGAUGUUCGAAUGAGCUCAAUUUGGAAAUUGAUUUUCAUGAAUGAAGCUGUAGGAUAAGGAUGAUCAUAUGCUGGUUUUGAAAAAAAUUAAAUUGACAUGGUCAAAAUAUAAAAUUCAGUAACCAAAAUUACCACAACAGACAUUGCGACAAAAGAAGAAAAUUCGGUACAAUUAGAAAUGCAGCAGGCUGAAUGUGCGACAAAACCAGCAAGGGAAUUAUUUAAUUUCUUUUUUAGAAUGGUGACCGACUCUAAUUAAAGCAAGGGGACCCCGUUUCAGCCUUGAGAAGUAAAAUUGAAGUGAAACUCUAGUGAGCUGGAGCUAUUUUUGUGCGACGGGAUAAGAAAAGAGAGCAGAUCAGAUUUUGAUUUUGGAUUUAUUCCAUAAAAAGAGGCGUUCAGCAGCUUAAAAAGGGCAGUAAAUAACAGAGGAAAAUAUAGCAGAGGCGUGUGGCACUCGAGCAAAAAAAAAAGUUCUCUAAUUAAACCAGCAAAGGCCGAUCAAGCAGCUGGAAUAGCAGCCCAAAAUUUCAGCUAGUAAAGAGGAGGGACGCUCGACGAUUUGAGAAGUUUUCUUUUCCAAGAGUCAGUUCGUAAUUCAUGCUGUUUACAAUUGAUUCUUGCCUUGUUUUACUUGCUAUGAGUGGCUAAAUUUCUUAAGCUUAGUUAGACACUUAUGAACCUGAGCACAAGUGGUUUGAAGAUUUAUUUUGUUUUCAAUUCGAAUUCGGUAUUCUUGAAUUGUUUGCUUUACCGCUCAAGGAAUUUUUCUAAAUCAAUUGGAUUGAUCAGUUAUUUAAUUUGGGAUUUUUCUUAUAAUCAUCUAAGUGCAAAUUGAGUAAUCGAAUUUCUUAAUUAAACUUAGAAUUGGUGAUGAUUAAUUGGCCUGCAGCUAAUUAAAACAACUAAGGAUUUAAUAUUAGAAGCCGCCGGAGGAUUUUCUUUUAUUAAUGGCAGGUGAAGUCUCUAAAAUACUAAUUGCACCUUUAAUUAGUCAACAAAGAGAUAAUUAAAGGUAGGUUUUUAGUUAUGAAUGUUCUCUAAUUGAAUAAAAAUUUACUGGGGAUAGGAAGUCGCUUCGUAAGUGAUUUUUCAGCCUUGUUGCUGAGUUAGUAUACUAAGAUAAUUUAAGGUCACAAAGGACUUGUGCUUGGCGGAUUAAGGAGUCAAUAACUAAGCAUUCUCUCUCUUUAUUUUGAUAAUUUUUCAACAUUCGUAAUUAAAACUAAAACGUGUUCGUCACUUUAGGUUAUUUUUAGCAAACAAAGAAGCAUAAACCCCCCUAUUUUUUCUUUCUUGCAUGCGUUUUACAUUACCUUAAUUUCAACUCUCUUCAAAUAGAUUUAACACGAGCUUCUUCGUGGGACGAUUCCCUAUUUACCCUAUAUUACCAGUUAAUGUUGGUCGAAUAGUGGAUUUAAAUUCGGUAGUUAUAAUGACAGCUACCAGAUUGAUUCGUUUUUAAGAUUUUAUGGAUUUGAUAUUUUUAUUUUCGACAUAUAUAUUGAUGUUUGAGAUUCAUAUUGAAGUUUUUUAGGUUUUGAUUAUUAUAUUAAAAUUUUGGAGUUUAUGAAUAUCGAUUAAAACUUAGAAUUGAUAUUGAUUAUACAGAUUAGAACUCACUUUUUACUGAAUUUAGCAAACAAUUUCUUCUCUCUCAAAAUCUACAACACGAUUCUCAAGUGUUCGGCAUGCUCGGAUUCAUCUCGAGAAUAAAUCAAAAUACUGUUUAUGAACACAACCACAAACUUAUCCAAAUACGGUUGGAAAAUUCGGUUCAUCAAGUCCAUAAAAAUAGCCAGAGCAUUAGUUAAACCGAAAGGCAUCACAAGAAAUUCAUAGUGUCCAUACCUCGUCCUGAAAGCAAUUUUUGGCACAUCUGACUCUUUAACUCUCAAAUGAUAGUAACCAGAUCUCAAAUCAAUCUUUGAAAACACUGUUUCCCCUUUCAACUGGUCGAAUAAAUUAUCAAUUCUUGGCAACAGAUACUUGUUCCUUAUAGUCACUUUGUUGAGCUGACGAUAGUCAAUACAAAGUCUUAUAGAGCCGUCUUUCUUCUUCACAAAUAAUACGGGAGCACCCCAAGGAGAAAAACUCGGUCUCACAAAUCCUUUAUUUGUCAACUCUUGCAACUGACCUUUUAAUUCUUUCAAUUCGGUUGGAGCCAUUCUAUACGGAGCAAUGGAGAUCUGUGCAGUCCCAGGUAACAAAUCAAUAGCAAACUCAAUCUCUCUAAUCGGAGGCAACCCAGGAAAGUCUUCUAGAAAUACAUUCGAAAACUCACAGACUACCGGCACUGAUUCAAGCUUCGACUCAGACAUCUCAGUAUUCAACAAAUAGGUAAGAUAAGCUUCACACCCUUUUCUCAUGUAUUUUUGAGCAGACAUGUGAGAGAUCACCAUAGACAAUUUAUUUGAUUCAUCAGUAAUCACAUCGGAAGAUGACGCCUCUUCAGAAGCAUUUAUGGAAAAAGCUCUAGCUUUUGAUCUCACAGCUGAAUCUUUCACCACACUCUUACUGCUAGCUCUAAUUUCGGUAUUUCUCGGUGGUCUACCUCUGCUGGCAGUAUUACCCGUUCUAACACUCUGAAUUUUUUCUUCUUCAACCUUCUCAGGGCAAUCUUUAAUGUAGUGCUCUCGAGAACCACACUUGAAACAAGCUCGACUAACUAACCAACACUCACCAAAAUGUCGCCUACCACAAUACUGACACUUGGGUUUAUUAGACCUCACAUUACCCACACUUGCCAUUGAAGUAGCUUGAACUUUAGAACUCGAAUAUGAUCUCCCACGAUCUCGGUGCAAAUACCCAACUGAAACAGUUAAUCGAGGAUUCAUCUCUUUGGACUUCUUUGAUUGAGAUUGGAAUGACUUACUCAUUGGCCCUUUUCUUGCAUCUCGGGCCUCAAUCAUAGCUUUUCUCUUUUCUUUGUUCAGUUCUUAGGCCUUGCAAGCCCGAUCAACUAGUACAACAAAUUCUUUUAGUUCAAAAAUCCCAACUAAUAAUCUGAUGUCUUCAUUUAACCCAUCAUCAAAUCUCUUACACAUGAUAGACUUUGUGGACACACACUCCUGAGCAUAUUUACUAAGUCUAACAAACUCUCAUUCGUAUUCUGCAACAGAUAUUCGGCCCUACUUUAACUCGAGAAACUCUUUGCGUUUUUGAUCAAUGAACCACUACCUUAUAUACUUCUUUUUGAAUUCCUCCUGGAAGAAAUCCCAUGUAACCCUUUCUUUCAGAACCACUGAUGCUAGUGUCUUCUAUCAAUGAUAUGCUGAAUCCCUCAGUCAAGAUAUAGCACACUUCAAGCAUUUUUCGGGAGUACAAGAUAGCUUAUCAAAUACCCAAAUUGAAUUCUCAAGCCAAAACUCUACUUUCUCAUGAUCAUCAUUUAUAUUAGCUCUGAAUUCUUCAGCCCCUUACUUUCAAAUUUUAUCAACUGGAGGCUUAUUCAAUCUUACCAAAUCAACACCUUGGGGAGCUACGGGGACCGAUUGGGGAAUAGGAGUGGGUGGAGGAGGUUGAGCAUUCGAAAACACUCAAACAAAUUCUGUAUACCAAUUAUUCAUCAUAUAGAGGAAAGCUUCCCGAGCCCCAUCUCCCUGACUAUGUGUUAUAGGUCUAAUAUCUACUGGUGUGGUCCCUUGCGCGGGAUCCAGUGCAUUACUCUCUACAUCAUCAGCUACUGCUCGGUCGGGAUCCAUUUACUAUAUAAAAACAUAAUUUAAAUUGCCAGGAGUCAUCACACUAUCAUAGUAUAUUUAUGGCAUGUAUAGAUUGACUUUCACACCCAUUAUGUUUGUUCAAGCAUGGAGAAGAUGGACACAAUUUUGGCAUUGUUUUCCCUUUUUUUUUAAUUAACCAAAUUAUCAAAAUGCCCUUUAUUAAAAACUAUGGUAUUUUAUCAUUCCUUAGGUAUUUUCUCCAAACUAAAGUAUAAUGGUCUAAUUACUAUCUAAGGACCUCCACUUUAAAAACCCAUUACAAACAAGUACCUUUAUGAACUAGAACACACAUUUUCACCUAUUGUAAUUUAGUCCUAAUCAUCAAAUUGGACACCCAAUCGAUAGAAUUUCAUAGCGAAAAUUUCACAGUCAUUCAAUUAAUUGCAAAAAAAUUUUCUACUUCAGAUUUGUAGUUUUGAAACCACUAUUCUAUUUAGGCCCUAAAUCGGGUUAUUACAACUUCCCCAUUUAGAGAUUUUCAUCACCAAAAAUCUUAACAGAAAAGAGGUUUGGGUACUAUUUUCUCAUGGCUUCCUUCGGUUCCCACGUAGCCUCUUCUACUCCAUGUCUUUGCCACAACACUUUCACUAUGGCUAUACUUUUAUUUCUUAAUUGUUUAACUUCUCCAGCCAAAAUCUUUACCGGUUCCUCAUCAUAGGUCAUAUCUCGUCGAAUCUCAAUCUCUGUCAGAGAAAUUACAUGUGAAGGAUCAGAACGAUAGCGUCGCAACAUUCACACAUGAAAUACAUUAUGUAUCCUUUCCAACUCUGACGGUAAAUCUAACUGAUAAGCCAUGGGUCCAAUCCUUUCAAUGACCUCAUACGGCUCAAUGAAACGCGGACUCAACUUGCCUUUUUGACCAAAUCUCAAAAUCUUCUUCUACGGAGAUACUUUCAGAAACACUUUAUCACCAACUUGAAACUCGAUCUCUUUUCUUUUCAAAUCCGGUGAUAACACUCUAGAAUAACGUAUUUUUAUGCAUUAAUUAUGUAUUUAUUCUGAGUAUGAUCCUGCUAAUUUGAGCUAUUUAUGAUCUUUUACUCAUAGGGACUAAAUUUGAGGCAAAAGUGAAAUUAAGGGACAAAAGCGUGAAUUUAGAGAUAAAAUGGGCCAAUGUGCGACACAAGGAAAAGUUGGUGCCAAAAGUGCAAGCAUGGAGGACACAAGGGUUGAAAUGCAAAAAGAAGAGAUUUUAUUCUAUUAAACUCUAUUUUAAUUAUAUUAGGGUAAUUAAUAUUGAGAUAAUUAUUAAAGAUUAUUUUUAGGAUUUUAUUUUAUCUUUAUUUAUCUUCAAUUAAAUGUAUUUAUCUUUUAGGAAUUUAAGUAGGAUUAGAAUAUCUCCCCUAGCACUAUAAAUAGGGGUAAAGUGACUCAAAAGGGGAUCCCAUCUUUUCUUUUUCUGUAAACACUCUCUCCCCAAAAGUCUAGGCUUUUGUUCUUUUCAUAUUUCCUUUCAAUAAAAUCUUUAUUUUUAUUUUAUUUAUUUUCUUUUCUACCACAACCAUGAGCCACUAAACUCAUCUAGCCGAAGGUUGUCAAAAAUCCCCAAAAAGGUUCAUGAGGCUUAGAAUCAGUACUUAACCUCCUUGCUGAGUAUUCAUCGUUUCUCCGCACUACGAGGCUGACGCUUCUGUCCAAGUCCCUUAAGAAGUAAGUUUUUCAACGUAUGCAAAGGCGGCCACUUUGAAUGUUUUGGGAAUGUUGCACAGUCGGUUCGUUAGCUUACUGCGUCAGAGGUUGGCGAGCCCAAGAGAUAAAAUGGUGUGGGAUUCACCAUUGAGAAUCGUUGAUCUAGCAUAAGACGAUCCCACAAAAGCGAUUGUUGGCUAGAGUCAGGUUCCACUAAAUUGUAAGUCUAAAUCCUUGAAGCUGGUGGUCGUAGGCGUCCUUUUCCACUAUAACUGGCUUAUUCGGUUUGGGAAGGAUCAUCUAAAAGCUGAGGAUUGAACCCAAGGUGGAGCGAGACAACUGGAGGCUGGAAUCUCCCAUAAGAAUUUUCUUUCUCUUAACUCUAUUUUUAAUUUCUCGAAUUUUCAAUUCAAUAUUCUUAAUUCUGUUUUUAUUUUAUUUUUCGUUUCUAAAUCCAACAAUUUAAUUCUGUUAUUGUUUUUAUUUUUUUUCAGGAACGCAGGUUGUCUUGGGCAAGACUCUGCCUGGGAUUUCACAAAACAAGAUAUUUUGCAAGUCCAGUCCCUGAGGAUUUGACCCUCCUUCCCUUUUACUAUUCUUUUUCAUUAUUUAUUAGGGAUAGGAUAUUUUUUGUGCUUUCAACGACCACAUCAAAUUUUGGCGCCGUUACCGGGGACUAGCAAUGUACGAAUCUUGUUUUUUGUUUCUUAUGACCAGAUCUGCUCCAGGUACUCUUGCGUUCAAAUCAGAAAUUGAGAAGUCUGCUAGAGCCAAUCGCAAGGAGACAAAGUUACGAAAAAAACAGUCAGCGGUGGUUGAAACUCAAAGUAACCCACCGCCAGAAAUAGAAGUCGACGACGAAGCUGAGUCUAGGGUUAACGAAAACCUUACUUGAACACUUGAAAGCGAAAAAGUAGAAGUUGACUCACCAGAAGAAGUGCUUAAUGCUAGGUUGAACGAAAACCUGAAUCUAGCACACCAACCAAUGGCUUAAAUGAUUCGGCAACUGGCUGAAGCUCCGACAGAACAACCGCCAUUGUGCAUCGCGUAUCCUACCAUGGAUACUGAUUUUGAGUUGAAGUCAGGUUUAAUCCAGUUAUUGCCAACUUUUCGUGGGUUACAAAAUGAAAAUCCCCACAAGCAUCUGAAAGAAUUUCAUAUGGUUUGUCUUAGCAUGAAACCUCAGGGGUUAACUGAGGAUCAGAUUAAAUUGUGUGCUUUCCCUUUCUCCCUAGCAGAUUCCGCUAAGGAAUGGUUAUUUUAUUUACCCCCUGGAUCUAUUACAACUUGGGCUGAUCUAUCUCGUUUAUUUCUGAAUAGCUUUUUUCCAGCAUCUCAAGCAGCUGAGUUAAGAAGAAAGAUCAUUAGAAUAAGACAAAACGAAGUUGAGUCCCUUUACGAUUAUUGGGAGCGGUUUAAGAAGUUGUGUGCAAGCUGCCCACAACAUGGUAUAACAGAGCAAUCUCUCCUCCAAUACUUUUACGAAGGUUUGAAGCCCAUGGAGAUGAAUAUGGGAGACGCUGCUAGUGGAGGAGCAUUGGUCAACAUGACUCCCCAACAAGCAAGAGACUUGAUCUCCACGAUGACUGCAAAUUCUCAUCAGUUUCGAGCUAAUAAUGAACCCCGUAGAAGGGUUCACCAGCUAAGUAAUUCAACCUUAGAGGAUAAAGUUGAUAGACUUACUAAUAUGAUGAACUCUCUUAUUGCAGAAAAAGCAAAGACAGCUCGGUUAUGCGAAAUAUGUGCUACACCUGAUCAUGCAACUGAUGCAUAUCCCAGUUUGUAGGAUGAAACCACGGCCCAUCUGGAUGCUGUGGGAAAUUUUCCUGGGCCGCCACAAAGGCAAUACGAUCCCUACACUAAUACCUACAACCCAGUGUGGAGGGACCAUCCUAACUUAAGUUAUGGGGCCAAUCUACGAAAUAACCAGCCAUACCAAAAUCGAUUUCCGCAACAGCCGCAAGGUUCAGGUAAUUUUCUAGAAACCAUGGUCAAUAAGUUAGCAGCUAAUGUUCUUGAUUUUCAAUAGCAAACUCUUAAUUUCCAAAAAGAGACAAAGAAUUUCCAAAAGAAAACUGAGGUGUCCAUCAGAGAGUUGACCACAUCGAUCGAGAAAUUAACCUCUCAAGGGAAGUUGCCGUCACAAACAGAACCAAACCCUAGAAAAAAUGCAAAUGCAAUAAUGUUGCGAAGCGGAAAGGUACUGGAAUCGAUUCCUGAUAGGAAUCUUGCCCAAGAAAUCACCCAGGAAAAACCCAAAAAAAAUGAACAGGUCCGACCGAAGCCUCCAUUGCCUAAAAUUCAACCUCCAUUUCCAGAACGAUUCAACCGAUGUCGAAGAGGUAAAGAGGACAAGGAAAUUGUCAAAACAUUUAGGAAUGUCGAGAUCAAUAUUUCGCUGUUGGACACCAUCAAGCAAAUACCGAGGUAUGCUAAAUUUCUUAAAGAGCUUUGCACCAACAAGCGAAAAUUAACAGGUAAUGAAAGGGUGAAUGUUGGUGAGAAUGUAUCCGCAGUGUUACAACGGAAAAUGCCGGCAAAAUGCAAGGAUAGGGGCAUGUUUGCAAUACCAUGCAAAAUAGGCCAUAUGGGAAUUAAAAAGGCUAUGUGUGAUCUAGGGGCUUCUAUAAAUGUAAUGCCAUAUUCUAUUUAUGAAUCACUUAACGCGGAUUUUUUUGACAAAAACAGGUGUUAUCAUUUAAUUGGCGGACAGGUCUGUUGUGCAUCCAGAAGGAGUCCUUGAGGAUGUUCUGGUAAAAGUUAACGAUCUUAUUUUCCCUGUAGAUUUUUAUGUGAUCAAAAUGGAGGAGGAUAGCACUCCUGGAUCUUCAGAUCUCCUACUGGGUCGACCGUUCCUUAGUACAACUAGUACUAAAAUUGAUGUUCGAAGUGGAACUCUCACGAUGGAGUUCGAUGGGGAGAUCGUAAAGUUUAAUGUCUACGAUGCCAUUAGCCAUCCAACCGAAAUCUUGAGCGUAAAUCGUAUUGACAUAAUUGACUCUUUGGUGGAAGAGAAUUUUGAGUCAAUUUAUGGAGAUAAUUCUGAACUUAAUGAAUUUGAAUUUGUUAACGAGUUAUUAUCUUCAAAUACUAAACUGCUACCUUCUGUUAUACAGGCACCAGAGCUGGAGUUAGAACCCCCAGGAAAGGCUAGGAAAUUAGACAACCAAGAGUUAGAAGAAAUUCACAAUGAUGCCUACGAGAAUGCUCACAUUUAUAAAGACAAAACAGAGUUGUUUCACGCUAAGAGAAUAGCUCAAAAGCGUUUUUCGGUAGGACAAAAAGUUUUACUUCAUAACCCCGUGUUAAAGUUAUUCCCAGGUAAGCUUCGAUCACGAUGGCAAGAACCUUUUAUUGUUACUAAAGUGUUCACACAUGGAGCGGUUGAAAUAGAGAGUGAAGAAUCUGGAAAGCAGUUCGUAGUCAAUGGCCAGCGGUUGAAGCCAUUUUAUGAGAAUUUUCAAGCCCACACGGUUGAUGAAAUCCAUUUGGAACCACCAUAGAACCAAUAACGGCGUCGAGCUAACGACGUUAAACAAGCGCUUGUUGGGAGGCAACCCAAUUUUUAUUUUUAUUUUUUAUUAGUUAUUAUUAUUUUUCUUUACUUUAUUUAUUACUUUAUUUUAUUAUUUAUUACUUAUUUGGAUAUUAAUCAAUUUUUCUUCUUUUGCUUAGAAAAAAAAUGAAGCAAAACCGUUAAGCAACACUUAAAGCGUAUUGAGGCUUGACUUGAAACCUUUGGCCAGCAAUUGACCAAGCUCAUUGCCAUCAGUUGUGAUCACACGGGGAGUUUUUCUAAACUUUUUUACCUAUUUAUUUCUUUUCGUCCACAUUGAGGACAAUGUGCUUUCAGUAGGGGGAGGUACUCUUCGUUAUUACUAUCAUUUUCUGCUGUGAUUUUGGUUAUUGUUGCUGUUGCUGUGAUUAUUUUUGGCUGGUGUUGCUGCUUGAGGCUUUAUUUUGUCCAUAUUUAUUUUUUUGGAAUCUCCUGCCUCUUUUCAUGCCCAAGAUUUUUACCAAGAAUUGCCUACUGUUUGACCUACAAGCAUGAUUCUUGUUUUCUGAGAAAAUUACGAAUUUUCCAUAAUUGAUGCCAUCUCCACUGUUUUAUUCUUAUUAGACUAAAAAUAAUUGUGAUUCAUAAAGUUAACUUUAUCUUGCUUUUCAUAAAAUUGAUCAAGUUUAAAUACAAAGUGGACACUUAAUAUGUUGCAUGCUAAAAUAUGUUGAUGACUAUUAAGGUAAUUACUGAAACUUAUUUUCGACACUUGAUUAUUAUUAUUCCUUUUUUCCUCUAAAGUCCUCAUAAAAAAAGUUAUUAUUAAUGUCGUUUAAUGUUUCCGUGGUUAUGAGUGCAGCUUAAAAACGUGACUGACUGAGUAACCGGGGUAGGGUGCUUGGGUUGUCAUCCUAUUUCGCGUCAAAAGGUUGUGUGACGUGUUAGAUAAAACUCCGCUAACUGGAAUUAAUCUUUAAGAACAUGUUGGGCUGAGUAACCGGGGUGGGGUGCUUGGCUGUCAUCUCUCUUCGCGUCAAAAGGUUCGAUGUGUUCUUAAGAAAAAAUUAUAAUAAAUUAGGAGUCUGUUGGGCUGAGUAACUGGGGUGGGGUGCUUGGUUGUCAUCCCUCUUCACGUCAAAAGGUUCAGUAUAUUCCUAAAGCAAAAAAAAGAAGAAAAAAAUAAUAAUUUGGGGACUAAAGGAGGAAACAAAUAGGGUGUCUUGGUAAGUUUGGUAAUUUACCUAAUUUUCAUUAAAUAAUUCAAGCCGAUUCUAAUUUUUGUGUGUAUUAAUUAGAAAACUUUUUCUAUUUUACUUAAAGCAAGCUUAGGGUUUUCUUUAUUUUUCAUAUGCAUUUUUGACUGAUUUCUAUAAAACUUUGGAAGUGGUAUUUCUUUUAUGGCAGAAUCUAACAUUCAUAGUAGAUACAAACCAUACUUGAGGGCAAGCAUGGGCUAAGUAGGGGGAUUUGAUAACACUCUAGAAUAACGUAUUUUUAUGUAUUAAUUAUGUAUUUAUUCUGAGUAUGAUCCUGCUAAUUUGAGCUAUUUAUGAUCUUUUAUCUCAUAGGGACUAAAUUUGAGGCAAAAGUGAAAUUAAGGGACAAAAGCGUGAAUUUAGAGAUAAAAUGGGCCAAUGAGCGACACAAGGAGAAGUUGGUGCCAAAAGUGCAAGCAUGGAGGACACAAGGGUUGAAAUGCAAAAAGAAGAGAUUUUAUUCUAUUAAACUCUAUUUUAAUUAUAUUAGGAUAAUUAAUAUUGAGAUAAUUAUUAAAAAUUAUUUUUAGGAUUUUAUUUUAUCUUUAUUUAUCUUCAAUUAAAUGUAUUUAUCUUUUAGGAAUUUAAGUAGGAUUAGAAUAUCUCCCCUUACACUAUAAAUAGGGGGUAAAGUGACUCAAAGGGGGAUCCCAUCUUUUCUUUUUCUGUAAAUACUCUCUCCCCAAAAGUCUAGGCUUUUGUUCUUUUCAUAUUUCCUUUCAAUAAAAUCUUUAUUUUUAUUUUAUUUAUUUUCUUUUCUACCACAACCAUGAGCCACUAAAUCCAUCUAGCCGAAGGUUGUCAAAAAUCCCCAAAAGGUUCAUGAGGCUUAGAAUCCGUACUUAGCCUCCUCGCUGAGUAUUCAUCGUUUCUCCGCACUAUGGGGCUGACGCUUCCGUCCAAGUCCCUUAAGAAGUAAGUUUUUCAACGUAUGCAAAGGCGGCCGCUUUGUAUGUUUUGGGAAGGUUGCACAGUCGGUUCGUUAGCUUACUGCGUCAGAGGUUGGCAAGCCCAAGAGACAAAAUGGCGUGGGAUUCGCCAUUGAGAAGCGUUGAUCUAGCAUAAGAUGAUCCCACAAAAGCGAUUGUUGGCUAGAGUCAGGUUCCACUAAAUUUUAAGUCUAAAUCCUUGGAGCUGGUGGUCGUAGGCAUCCUCUUCCACUAUAACUGGCUUAUUCAGUUUGGGAAGGAUCAUCUAAAAGCAGAGGAUUGAACCCAAGGUAGAGCGAGACAACUGGAGGCUGGAAUCUCCCAUAAGAAUUUUCUUUCUCUUAACUCUAUUUUUAAUUUCUCGAAUUUUCAUUUCAAUAUUCUUAAUUCUGUUUUUAUUUUAUUUUUUCAUUUCUAAAUCCAACAAUUUAAUUCUGUUAUUGUUUUUAUUUUUUUCAGGAACGUAGGUUGUCUUCGGCAAGACUCUGCCUGGGAUUUCACGGAACAAGAUAUUUUGCAAGUCUAGUCCCUGAGGAUUUGACCCUACUUCCCUUUUACUAUUCUUUUUCAUUAUUUAUUAGGGAUAUGAUAUUUUUGGUGCUUUCGAUGACCACAUCAUCUGGGUAUGAUUUUUGUCGAUCUGAAGUAGCUUUCAGACAAUCACGGAUUACUUUCACUUUCUCUUCGGUUUCUCUAACCAAAUCAACCCUGUGAAUCUGUUUCUCAUUGAGCUCAGUCCAAUACAAAGGAGUUCUACACUUGUGACCAUACAAUGCUUCGUACGGUGUCGUCUGUAUACUUGACUGAUAACUGUUGUUGUAAACAAAUUCAACCAAAGGUAGGUAUUUUUCCCAACUACCCUCGAAUUCUAAAACACAACAUUGGAGCAUGUCUUCAAGAAUCUAAAUUACUCUUUCGGAUUGAUUGUUAUUUUGCGGAUGAAAUGCGGUACUAAAAUUCAAUCUCGUACCCAAUGCUUCUUGCAACUUUUUCUAAAACCUCAAAGUGAACUUCGAAUCUCUAUCCUAAAUAAUAGACAUAGGCACUCAGUGUAAUCUCACAAUUUUAGCAAUAUACAACUCAACCAACUUAUCAAGUGAGUAGUUGGUACGUACCAGUAUAAAGUGAGUCAAUUUUGUCAAUCUAUCAACAACAACUCAAACAACAUCUUUCUUUUUAGGAGUCAGAGGCAAACUUGUCACAAAAUCCAUUGUGAUUCUGUCCUAUUUCUACUGGGGAACCAUCACUGGCUGAAGUAAACUCGAAAGCAUCUGAUGCUCAGCCUCAACUUGUUGAAAAAUCAAACACUCUGAUACAAAUUCAGAAAUAUAUCUUUUUUUAUACCUUGCCACCAAUAUAAUUUCUUUAAAUCAUUGUACAUUUUAGUACUACCCGGAUGAAUUGACAAACAACCAAUAUAUGCCUCAUGUAAAAUUUUCUGAAUCAACUCAUCAUUCUUCGGUACACAUAUCCUGCCUCAGAACAUCAAACAAUCAUCUGAACCGAUCUGAAAAUCUGAAUCAUUACCCGAUUCACAAUGAGAUCUUUUAGCUUGCAAUUCCAUGUCAUUCUUCUAAACUUCACAAAUCUGCUGAAGGAAUAAUGGUCUAGCCUUCAACUCAGCCAAAAUCGAACCAUCAUCAGAAAAUGUCAAACUCAUAGCUCUCAAAGCAUACAAUGAUUUUCUGGUCAAGGCAUCUGCGACUACAUUCGCUUUCCCUGGAUGAUAAUCAAUCACUAGCUCAUAAUCUUUUAAUAAUUCGAGCCACCUCCCUUGUCACAAAUUUAAAUCCUUUUGAUUCAUUAGAUGCUUCAAACUUUUAGGAUGGUAAAGAUUCAGCAUUUCUCACCAUAAAAAUAAUGACGCCAAAUCUUCAAAGCAAAGACGAUGGCAACCAAUUCCAAAUCAAGCGUCGGAUAGUUUUUCUCAUGCGAUUUUAGCUAUCUCGAGCCACAAGCUACCACUUUGCCAUCUUGCAUCAGCACACACCUAAGACCAUUCAAUGACGUAUCACUAUAUAUCACAAAAUCUUUCCCCGACUCACAUUGUACCAAAAUCGAUGCUUCAGUCAAUCAUGCUUUCAGCUUCUCGAAACUUUGUUGACAUUUAUCUGUCCACUCAAAAUUUACAUUCUUUUGCAACAACUUAGUCAUAGAAGUAGCAAUCAUCAAAAAUCCUUAGACAAAACGUCGAUAGUACCCAGCUACCACAAUGCUGACACUCGGGUUUAUUAGACCUCACAUUAACCACACUUGCCAUUGAAGUGGCUUGAGCUUUAGAACCCAAAUAUGAUCUCCCAUAGUCUCGGUGUGAAUACCCAGCUGAAAUAGUUAAUCGAGGAUUCAUCUCUUUGGACUUCUUUGACUUAGAUUGGAAUGACUUACUCAUUGGCCUUUUUCUUGCAUCUCGAGCCUCAAUCACAGCUUUUCUCUUUUCUUUGUUCAGUUCUUAGGCCUUGCAAGCCCGAUCAACCAGUACCACAAAUUCUUUCAGUUCUAAAAUCCUAACUAACAGUUUGAUGUCUUCAUUUAACCCAUCCUCAAAUCUCUUACACAUGAUAGCCUCUAUGGACACACACUCCUAAGCAUAUUUACUGAGUCUAACAAACUCUCUUUCAUAUUCUGCCACAGACAUUCGGUCCUGCUUUAACUCGGGAAAUUCUUUACGUUUCUAAUCAAUGAAUCAUUGCCUUAUGUACUUCUUUCUGAAUUGCUCCUAGAAAAAAUCCCAUAUAACCCUUUCUUUCAGAACCACGAAUGCUAGUGUCUUUCACCAAUGAUAUGUUGAAUCCCUUAGUAAAGAUAUAGCAUAUUUCAGGCAUUCUUUAAGAGUAUAAGAUAGCUCAUCAAAUACCUGAAUAGAAUUCUCAAGCCAAAACUCUACUUUCUUGAGAUCAUCAUCUAUAUUAGCCCUGAAUUCUUUAGUCCCUUGCUUUUAAAUUUUAUCAACUAGAGGAUUAUUCAAUCUUACCAAAUCAAAACCUUGGGGAGCUACGGGGACCAGUUGGGGAAUAGGAGGGGGUGAAGGAAGUUGAGAAUUCGAAUUCGCUAUAACAAAUUCUGUAUACCAAUUAUUCAUCAUAUGGAAGAAGGCUUCUCAAGCCCCAUCUCUCUGACUAUGUGUUCUAGGUCUACUAUCCACUAGUGCGGCCCCUUGCAUAGGAUCUAGCGCAUUACUCUCUACAUCAUCAUCUAUAGCUCAGUCGGGAUCCAUUUACUAUAUAAAAACAUAAUAUAAAUUGUCAGGAGUCAUCACACUAUCACAGUAUAUUUAUGGCAUGUGUAGAUUGACUUUCACACCCAUUAUGUUAGAAAACUUGAGGAAUUAGGGGAAGGGUGUUGAAAUUGUGGAAAAGGAAGAACAGAGGUAACAAUCAAAUUUUUGAUAAACUCCCUCCAAUCCCUUAACUUUCUCCCAUAUCUGUAACUUCCCUCCUAAAAACUGUCCAUCACACUCCCACUAACCCUCAAAUUCCCCUCAAAUUGUCCACCCUAAUCUCCUCAACAACCGAAUUCAAAAUCCACUCCAACUCUACAAAAUUUCAGUCAAACUACAACACCCACACGGCACAAGCAGUAAAAAUAAAUCCCAUUUUUGGCAAGUACUUGAACUCUAGACCUCCUGCUCAUUUGCCCUCCAUUUAACCACCAGACCAGCAAGCCCAUUCUGACAUAUUUUUACCAACUUUUAACUAUAAGCCUAUUGAACAAAAGCAAUGAUUUAUUUAAUUAAAACAAAGAUGUAGCUCAAGACAAGACUUGAACCCAAAACUUCUCAAACAUUCCCAGGACACAUAACCAUUCACACAGACAAAUAUUUGUGUCACAAAAACACAGAAAUAAAUAUAUAAGAGAUUUUUGGGGUGCUACAGAUGGGCUUUUUGAGGUUUUACUCAGAGUGUAGGGAUGGGUGGGUUGAUUUAAUCCUUACAGUAAGUGUUGGGUUGGACUGAGAUGGUGUGUUGGUUGGAUGGGUGGGUUAUUUUAUAACUCAUUUGCAGUCACUCAUAUGCAUCUGAUUGAGCUGUGACUGAAUGUGAUGGUACUACGCGACUGAAAAGCAUUUGUGCCUAUGUAAAUUCUGUAAACUCUGACUGUAUCUGAUUGACUGAGUAGAUACUUAUGUCUGAAUGAGAAUUUUUGAUUGUGUGACUGAUUGUCUCAUAUGACUACAAGGCACUUAUGGCUUUGUGUAAUUAUUGAACUCUUAUUGUAACUGACUGGUUGAAUAGAACUAGUGACUGAUUGUGAUUCGUAUUACUCGAUUGAGAUUUCUAUCUCAAGCUUACUAUCUGUUUCUGUAAGUAUGUUCUGCUUUGGAACUACUCUCUGGUUUUCUGCUCUAAAAUAGUAGUUGAUGGUUUCUAAUCUCACAUUGAGCUCGUGUAGCUCACCCCCUCUUCUAUUUCCCCUUUCAGGUACCUUUCAAAAUUCUGUUGCUGGACCUAGUACGCGGAGGCCUCGGACAAUCACGGUUGCAAAAGAUUAUUUUGGUUUUAUUUUCUGAUUUAUAUCUUGAUUACACUGUUUUGGAAUUGUAAAAGAGUUAUAAUAUUGUGGUACAAUUUCUGUUUUAGACUUUCACUCUUUUAUUUGAUUUCGACUAUGUAUUAAACUUAUUUGUAAUUUAUAUUAAAAUAUUUUAUGCAAUGGAAUAUUCGGUUAGAUAUGAUAACUUGUUUGUAAAAAAUUUUCAUGAUCACUUCGGUGAUCAAUGUAGCAUCCUGAAUUCGGUCUAAACUUUUAGGUCGCGUUGGGGGUGUUACAAUAAUAAAUUAUAUUAUUUAUAAAAUUAUUAAUUUAAAGACCAAAGUCGUUACAUGAUCCUAUAUCAUAUCCUUAUGUUAUAUAAAUAGACAAAUAUAUUUAAAAUAAUACUUUUUAUAUGUUAAUUGACAGUAUUGGGAUUUAACUGUCAGCCUUUUUCAUUAGUGCUUGAAUUCUUUAAUAUAAAAUUAAGAUGACCAUAAAAUAUAUUGUGAUUGUUAGCACUAAUUAAUGGUUAUGGAUGUUUAUGCUUUCAAUUUUCUCUUUUAACCUCCACUGUUUUCUUCUUUAGUUAAAUCACACCACUAUAGGGUGAAAUUUGUUAGGCCCACAAAACCUUUAAUUGAUGACUUAGACUUGCUUUUUGUUUCAAUUAAUGUAAUUUACCCACAAUUCUCUUCUUAAUUUCAUAUGAAGCAAAAAGAGAUAUGGGUCCUGAAUUCUUCAAUAAUAUGAAUCAGAAAAUGUCUUUUACUUUUUGACAAUAAUCACUAAUUAAGGAGCAAAUACUGGGCCUGUUUUGCUGUUGUUUUUAUUUCCACUUCACCUUUAAAAUGUAUUCUUCACUUUUUCUUACUAAUAAACUUUUUAAACACUACUUAGACUUACUUUUUGUGUUAAUAAUUUCAACAAGUUUCCUCUUAGUUAUUUAUAAGGUGAGAGAGAUUGAUUGCUAAGCGUAACCUUAACAAAUAUAGUUAAUUUAUUAAUUUAUACAUCAAUGAUCAAACUCAUGAAUCAGAAGAAGAUUUUACCUUUUUCUAGAUUUUCAUCGAAUUGGGUUUUUUUUAUAUUUUAUUUUACGAUUUUUGUUAUGUAGUUUUAAGUUUAGUUUUAGUUUUUAAUUUUAAUCCUUCUUUGUUUUUAUUUUCUUUUAUUAAAGAAAUAGAAUUAUCAUCUGUUUAUGUGGAUUCGACCCUACUCAUUGUUAUAAUGUAAUGUCCCAAAAAUUUGUGUUUUGAAUUGUUAGAAUUAAAUUAGUCCCUAUAUAUUAGAUCAAAUAGAAAAAUGAUUCUUCUAUUAAAAAUUUCACCCAUUUCUAUUGCUAAAAAUUGGUUCCUUUACAUCAGCAUGAGGUACACGCGGUACAUCACAUAUUAUUGUCUAGUUAUUCUGUCAGUCACGCCAAUUUUUAACAGUACAAAUAGAUGAAAAUUUUAAGAGAGACUCUUUAAUCUAAUGUAUAGGAACUAUUUUUUUUAGUAGAAAAGACAAAAUACAAUUUAAUUUUUAGUACAAAACUCACCAUUAUACUUUCACCUAUUUCAAGCAUAUAAUAUUAAAUUAAGAAUAGUAGUUAUACUUAUAUUCAACCAUCAUCUUCAAUCUAAAAAAUCACAGGUAAACCCUAGUAUGCUAUCCCAUAAUAAUUUAUAAAUAUUUACACUUUUAUAUUUGGAAAGAGUUGUAUUAUUGGCAUGAAACAAUGUAGGGAAACUUGUGAUGGAGACAUUUGCAUAAAUUAUAGAUAUAUAAGAGGGAGGGAAUGGUAAAAAGAGGAUGAUUGAAACUGUGCAGGUCAAAGUUUUGUAUGUAUAUAUAAUUAAUGAAGGGACCCCAUUGAAGCAUAGAGUGUAGCAAGGGUGACCCAGUUCAUGUGAGUAUUGUAUGAGUUAUUGGGAAUUUAUGGGAAAUUUUGCUUGGCCUUAAUACGGAAAUUUAUCUCUUAUACAAUUAAUAGUAAGUUUCAAAUGUGCUAUUUAGUUUAAAAAGGUUAUAUUAGACUCCAAAUUUUAGGAAAUAUAUAUGAUUGUAUCAAAAAUUUUAUAUAAUUAAUUAUUUACAUGGAUCAAAAUUAAUUUUGAUUUAUAACGCCAAAAAAUUUGUAUUUUGAAUUGUUUUAUAUACCACUAAAAAAUUAAAUUAAUUAAAAAUUAAAAUUUUUCAAUGAUUUAAAUUUUUAUAUACCUCUGAUAAUUCAAAAUAACAAUAAUCGAUAGAAUUUUUCUAUAAAAAAGUGAAAAAUGGUAUUAAAGAACUAAUUACCAUUUAAUGUUUCAAUUAAUUUUAUUUUAUUUAUUUUAACAUUAUAGUAUGUUUAAAUUUUUAUUUUUUUAGAAUAAGAUGAAUUAUUUAAAAAUUAAAGCUAAAUAUAUAAAAUAAUAUUUUUCAUAAUUUAAAAUCUAUAUUAAUAAAAAAUUUUAAUUAUAUUUUUGUAAUUAAUUUUAAAUAAUAUAUCAAAUUAAUUUAAUUGAAAUGAAUAUCAAUGAAAGAAAUAUAGGAAAAAUAAAUUGCAUUAAUAUAGUUAUACAUGCAUUUAUCAUUUUCCACACCAUUGAACUUUUAAUGGACACUUGCUUUUAUUUUAUUUAUUUUGAACACAAGUUUUUUUUUUUGGUGAAUUACAAGAGAAGGGUAAAGCUUAACAACAACAUGAUUAGCGUGACUCAAACCGAGAUCAUCUGGAGCGAUGAAUACCCUAACCGUUUGGCCAACACAUGGAUUCACAAGUUUCUUAAUUCAGCAUUAGGAAACUAUUGGCUUUGAGUUAUUUAAUAUUGUUCAUACUAUGUAAUUGUUGAGUUGAAUUACUUUAAAUAGGAGUCAUUCCUAUUUUUGACACUCCAAAAAAAUACAUGUAAAUGCGCAGUUAGGCUGUGUGUAGUAAUGCUUUUAGAAAUACUUUUGACAUAAAAAUCACUUUCGAAUAAAAGGAAUGCUGAAUAAGCAUUUUUUGAAAGAAUUCUUUGCUUUUCAAAGACACUUUUCCCCAAAUGGAAAAGCUAAAAUUUUUAAUUUUUCUCUUAAAAGCAUUUUUGACACUUUUUAAAAGCAAUGCUAAAUUAGCCCUUAGUUUUCUAUUACCAUUUAAAUGGCAGAAUGACCAAUUUUAUCAAUUUCCUUUUUGGGUGACCAAAUAAAUAAAAGAAAAAUGUGACCAAAAUAAGAAUGACCCUUAUUUAGGGCAAAGCACCAAAUAUGAAUACAAGACAAUAACCAUUGCAACUAUUCUUUUUCGUUGAUGUUUUCUGUUUUAAUUACAAAUAUUUAAGUUAGUUGAAUAUUGAUAUCACAUUCAAUUGCUUAAAAUAUUUUGGUUUGUGAAUUAGAAUAAUUAAAUCUAUAAUUGUUUAAUUAAUUAUAAUGCUUGCAUUGAAUAGCAUUAUUGGAUAUAAGUUACGUAUGCAAUUCAUGUUACAUGAACAUAUGAUCUAUUCUAAAUGAGCCUCGCUUAAUGCUACCAAUAAACUAAAUCUUAGACUCGAACUGGUGGUUUAUUGAUAAGGGAAAUAAUUUCAAUUAAUUAUAAUGUUUGCAUUGAAUAUAAGUUACGUAUGCAAUUCAUGUUACAUGAAUAUAUGAUCUAUUCUAAAUGAACUUCGCUUAAUGCUGGUGGUUUAUUGAUAAGGGAAAUAAUUUCAAUGAGUUUCGUCUUUAUUAUCAACAAAGUAAGAAGAAAUUGAUUGCUAAGCGAAACAUAAAUAAUUAUAACUAAUCUAUUAAAGAACUAUAAAACUAUCUUUACAUCGAUGAUUAAACUCAUGAAUCAAACAAAAAUUUUAGCUUUUGCUAGAAUUUUAUCGUAUUAGUUUUUCUUAUAUUUUAGAAAGCCUUCCCUAAAAUAAAGACCAAAGUCUUUCCUUUUUGCCAUAUCUUAUUUUAUAAAUAUAAAAAAAAGUGUGUAUUUUUUCCAUAUGUUUAAAAAUCAUACUUUUUUUUAUCUCAUAUAUAUAUAUAUAUAUAUAUUUGAGUGAUAUCCAACUGAAGCAUUUAUUGAAAAAGUACAAAAAAACCACCUCACACCAACAUUCUCAAACCCAAGGAACAAAACAAAUAAAACGGUUAAAUUAAUUAUAUAUGCGCUUUCUUUUAUUUGGUCUUGUUUUUAUUUAAUUUGAGAAAAUAGAUUUUUAGGGAGGUAGUAUGAAAACGUAUCUAGUUAGACACAUAUUUCAACGAUUAUUUUUUUGAACGUUGGUAACGAUAAAAUGUUUUAAGGACCCCAACGAUAAUUUUUCUUUAUAAAUAUUAGAUUUUUUUUUAUUUUUACUCAAAUCCAACUCUCUCUAUUUUUUCUAAACUCUCAACUCUCUCAAUUUUCUAAAGUUUUAUUCCUGAAUAUUCUAUGACUUUCCCUUUUAUCUUCUUAUGUUUGUCAUAUAUACGUCUUAGAAUGCUCGAAAAAUAAAAAAAAAAUGUUUUCUCACAAUUGAAGGUACAAAUCUGUGAAAUUGACACAGCCUACCACAUUUCUUUGUGGUAGGCCAUUUGGGUCACAUGGCUGUGUAGCUAGGCCAUGUGGAAGGGGUCAGCCUGUGUGGCUCUUGUAACUUGUUAUGAUUUUUUUUAUUUUUGCUCAUUUUUCACUCCUUUUGGUCCCAAAUACUCUCUUAAGUAUAAAAACAUGAAUUUAAAAGAUUAAGAGCAUAAAAUUCAUCAUUAAAAUCGAAUAAUCACCCAAAAAUGCAUUAAGAAUGAGGUUAAAACAUGUUACUAUUAGCACUUAUCAAAGCACAACAAAUUAAUGUAUAUAUACUAUCAAAUAAAUUUUGAUAUUUGAUAUUUGAUAAAUUUUGUUUGUGCAUUGGGGUGGGACUUGUGUAUAUCGGGGAAGUGUAAGCAAAUAUAUCUUUGUCGUAUCUAGUGGCACAAUCACACAUAUCUUUGUAAAAGGCGAUAAAUCGCUUAAUGAACUGGCAGCUAAGCUGCAAAUAUUCUGAAAAGUGUCAUACCGACACUAAACGAUGUGUAGGGCCAGAUGAGUAUUCAAUACCCUAUAUGGUGUGUUGGAUGGUUGGAGAUGGUGUGUAGCGGAUGGGGGUAUGAUUGUAAAUCUACAUCUAUUGUGUUCUAAUACGGUUUUUAUUUUUGAUAUAUGUCUGAUUAAUUUCUAUUGACGAUAUGAUAUGUUACACACUGAGUUUCAAAACUCAUUCUUUGUUUAUUUGCUACUUUUAGGUAACCCUCAGACUUAAGAUGGGUUGGGGCGAUAAGAGUUCGGAUAAAAUAUUUUACUUUUCUUAUGGCUAAUUAAAUAUUAGGAUGGUUGUGUUUUGUUAUUUUUGAAUUGUUUUAGACAUUUUGGGGGACCGUUCGAUUUUGGACUUUUAAAUUUCGUUUUUAACUGUUUAUUGAUUUUAAAGGGAAACUUCACGAACAUCAAAACACGGCUUAUGUUUUCCAAAUCGAAUUUAACUAAAAAUUUCGCUACAACUAAAUGUGUUUAAUCUUGUUUUCGAAAAUUGGACUUGACUGAGAUUUUUCCCGCAGUGCAACCGUAGACAUUUUCAAAGUAUAAUUGAUCAAUAGUUUCUUCGAAUCUGUUAAUGAAGAUAUGUUUUUUAGUAAGCUGAAUUUUUAUGUAACUUCUAGACCGGAAUUGGGUGUUACAAAAUUACUUUUGAAAAAAAUAAACAUACAAACAAAAUAUAACAUAAACGUAUUACAAAGAAAGCCAACACAAAUCUGUUCUUAAUAUAUAGAAAUUAGAAAUCAUCAAAAAGAAUUUAUUCAAAAGACAAACAUGUAUUAAUUUAUAAGUUUUUUAUUAAGAUUUUCUCACAUGCAGGAAAAACCACCUUCAGUCGCAGUUCUAAUCACACCUGAAAAUUAAUAAUAUAGAACUUCGUUAUUUAGUUAAGGAUAUAUUUCUCAACAUUGAAAGAACUUUGUUAAGGAGUGAAGAAAGUCAAAUUAUUACCUUGUUGAAGGACCUUUGAUUCUCCUCACUAACCUUGCUUUCAGCAGAACAAAUGUAACAUAAACCCAAUCCUUUGCAUUAUUCAUGUAACGAUAAUACGAAUGCCUCCAUGAACGCUUGAAGAACACAACACUGCAAAACCCCCAGAAACCCACAGCAAAUCCAAGUCCAAUGCCAGUGUAAAACCAUUUCAUGAACUCAUCAGAAUCUUCUUCACUUCCUACUGCAGGUUUGCCACGAGGUGGUUCCACCAUUGAGCAAUUUGGUGAAAUAGGAGGACCACAAAGUCCUCUAUUAUGGGAAAAUGACGAGGGAUCAAAGCUUUGUAGUUGAGUGCUGGUUGGAAUUUUUCCAGACAAGUCAUUAUAAGACAAGUUCAAGUUGCUUAGAAAUGUUAAUGCAGACAAGCUUGUCGGGAUGUUUCCUGAAAACUUGUUUCUUGACAGGUCAAGCACCUCUAGUUGUCUUAUAUGCCCAAUCUUUUGAAGAAUUUUUCCGUUAAAAAGGUUUCUUGACAAGUUCAAUACAACCAGUUCUUGAAGACUAAUUAAUUCUUCAGGAAUCUCUCCUGUUAAUUUGUUACUGUUGGUGCAAGAGGCAGCAACAAAACUGUUUUGAAUUUUGCUUGGAUAGCAAGCCUCGAGCCUUGCUGAAGAAACAAACUCAGAAGCAAGAACAGAAACAAAAUGCGAAUGAAAACAAGAUAAAAGAGAGAGUUUUUUGAAUGAAAGGAGCUGAUAUUUUUCAUUAACACAUCAACAAGGCAUCAAGCCAUUACAUAUAUCAGUCAACAAGUAAAACAAACAAGUAAUCACCUAAUCAACUACCUAACACCACUAAUUUGCAUUGAAACUUACAAGAUUAGCUUGUACAACUUGCAUUGCUGAUUUUUCAGUCAAUUAAUAUCAAAACAUUUACCUACUUAGUUCAACAUGAACUAGAUUACAAAAUAAUCAAAAUGCAACUAAAAAAUGGCAAGUGGAUCGGCAACUUCAAGCUUCAGGCUUCAGCUCCUGCAGAUCAAGGCUCGAAUGCCUGCUACGUCAUCUUGCAUGGCCACCUUUGCAUGGAAAGCUGGUUGCAUGGGAACUAACUUUAACACUCCUCCUUAGUUUCUAUGCUGGUUACACCUAGCUUCCCUUUUAAUUUUACAAAUCUUGACACAUUGAGUGCCUUGGUAAAAAUAUCCGCAAUUUGCUCCUCCGAAUUGCAAUGAACCAGCUCGAUUUCAUGAGCUUGUUCCAUCUCCCUUAUAACAUGUAACUUGAUAUUGAAGUGCUUGGUUCUCCCAUGGAAGAUGGGAUUCUUUGCAAUUGCAACAGCAGAUUUGUUGUCACAGUAAAUCUCUGUUGCUUCUUCUUGGUUUUGGUUUAAAUCGGCCAAGAUUUUUCUAAGCCAUAUGGCUUGAUUCACAACAGAUGCAGCAGCAACAUAUUCAGCUUCUGCUGUUGAUUGUGCCACCAGACUUUGUUUCUUAGAACUCCAGUAAAACAUGCCUGAGCCAAGGCUAAAAGCAUAUCCAGAUGUACUUCUCAUGUCAUCACAUGAUCCAGCCCAAUCACUAUCAACAUAGCCUAUCAACUUCAUACUUUCAGCUCUUUUGAACAUCACACCAUGACUAAUGGUGCCUUUGAUGUACCUUAGGACUCGUUUAGCUGCUUGAAAAUGCUGAUUCUUGCAGCAAUUCAUGUAUCUAGAUAGCACACUAACUGCAAACAUAAUAUCUGGCCUUGUUGCAGUCAAAUAUAGUAGACUACCAAUGAUACUCUUGUACAUAGUCUCACAAACUGGUUCACCAGUUUCCUGUCUUGAUAGUUUCAUUUCAACAGCCAUUGGUGUGCUUGUUGGCUUGCAGUUCUUCAUUGAGAACUUGUUUAAGAUUUUCAUAGCAAAGGAACUCUGGCUGAGAAAGAUUCCAUUUGCUGUUUGCUUCACUUCCAUUCCUAGGAAAUAAUUCAUUCUGCCUAGGUCAGACAUCUCAAACAUCUUCAUCAUUUUCUUCUUGAAAUCAUGUAGCAUGUUCUUGUCUCCUCCAGUUACUAACAAGUCAUCAAUAUAGAGUGACAAGAUAAGCUGAGUCUCAGCUUGAUUUUUCUUCACAUACAAUGUUGGUUCACUGACACUCCUCUCGAAUUCCAAACUGAGCAAGUAGGAAUCAAUUCGAGCAUACCAGGCUCGAGGAGCCUGCUUCAGGCCAUACAAGGCCUUUUUCAGCCUAUACACCAUGUGUUCUUUGCCAGUGAUCACAAAUCCUUGAGGAUGCUCGAUGUAGAUCUCUUCUUCCAGGAAACCAUUGAGAAAUGCAGACUUAACAUCAAGCUGAUGAAUGGUCCACUGAUGUUAAGCAGCUAAGGCAACUAUCAUUCUGACUGUGUCAAGCCUGGCUACUGGAGCAAAAGUUUCAAGGUAGUCCAGACCAUACCUUUGGCUAAAUCCUUUGACAACAAGCCUGGCUUUCAACUUGUUCAGACUGCCAUCUGCAUUCUGUUUUGCUCGAUAGACCCAUUUUACUCUAAUGGUCUUCUUUCCAGCAGGUUUAUCAACCAGCUCCCAUGUCUGGUUCUUCUCAAUCAUGUUGAUUUCAUCAACCAUAGCCAGUUUCCAACCUUCAUCUGCCUCAGCUUCUUCAAAACUACUAGGUUCUGCUAUAGCAACUUGUGCUCUUUCAUAAAUCUCAUCUAGGGGCCUUGUGCCUCUCACAGGCACAUCAUCAACAUCCAUCUCAGGACCAAGCUGCUCGAGUUCAGCUUGAUUAGGCACCAGGUCUUCUGAAGCAGCUUCUGGUUCACUCUUUUCCCAAUUCCAGCAAGCCUUCUUAUCAAAGAUGACAUCUCUGCUCACUUGGACUUUGUUUGUCAAAGGAUCCAGCACCCUAUAGCCCUUCUUAACUGAGCUAUAGCCUACUAGAACACCUGGUUGAGCCCUUUCAGAGAGCUUGUCUCUCUUUACUGCUGGUAUUUGUGCAUAACACAGGCAACCAAACACCUUCAGGUGUGCCAAGGAAGGCUUGAAACCAAACCAAGCCUCGAAAGGCGUCUUGGAUGCAAGGGCUUUGGUAGGAAGCCUAUUUUGAAGGUAGACAGCAGUGCUUACUGCCUCGGCCCACAUGGUCUUGGGCAGUUUCUUCUCAAACAGCAGGCACCUGGCCAUAUCCAUCAAGCUUCUGUUCUUUCUUUUUGAUACCCCAUUCUGCUGAGGUGUGUAGACAUUUGUGAGCUGGUGUUUGAUACCAGCAUCAUUACAAAUGGCUUGAAACUGAGCUGAAGUGUACUCAGUGCCAUUGUCAGACCUUACCGAUUUCAGCUUGCAACCUGUUUCUGUCUCUACAGCAGUUUUAAACUUCACAAACACUUGAGCUACCUCUGACUUGUGUUUUAAGAAGAAAAUCCAGCAAAACCUUGUAAAAUCAUCAAUGAAGAGGAUGAAAUACCUAUUUUUGCUGAGUGAUUCAGUCCUCAUCGGGCCACAUACAUUAGAGUGCACCAGCUGCAGUCUUUCAGUAGCUCUCCAAGCUGAAUUUGUAGGAAAUGGCAGUCUUGCCUGUUUCCCCAUCUGGCAAACUUCACACACAUCAUCAUGCUCCACUGAGCUGGUGAAGUUCUCUGCCAAGCCCUCUUUGGCCAUUCGAGCCAAUGAUCUAAAGUUGGCAUGCCCGAGCCUUUGAUGCCAAAGUUUGGAAUCAUCAACAGAGGCUGUGUAUGCUGACUUUGAGUCAUUUGGCCAGUGCACCUCAAAGCAUUUGUCAGUCAUUGUGACUGUCAUAAGACUUGAUCCACUUGGAUCAGUAAUGUGGCACUGUUUGUCCUUGAACACAACAGAAUAGCCUUUUUCGAGCAAUUGAGCUAUACUGAGAAGGUUUCUGUCAGGCACCAAAAGCACAUUUGGAAUAAUUUUGUUGCUUGUAGGAGUACAUAUCAGCACCUCUCCUCUUCCUUCAGCCCUUAUGAACUGACAAUUUCCAACCUUGACCUUUGUUUUACAACUUCUAUCCAAGGUUUUAAACAAGGAGGCAUCUGGUGACAUGUGGUUAGUGCAACCACUAUCCAAUAACCAUCAUUUUGAACAUUUCUUCUCAGUAGCUAAGCAAGAAACAGUAAAGACUUGCUCUUCUUGAUCACUACUGUCCUCAGCUACUCGAGCUUCAACCUUUUGUUGUUGAAAUUGACUCUGCCGCGGCUUGGUUUUGUUUUUGCAAACCCUCUCAACAUGACCUUUCUUCUUGCAGUGUUGGCAUACUGCAUCUGGCCUGAACCAGCAUCUGUCUUCUGGAUGACCUGGCCUCUUGCAAUGUCUGCAGGGCUGGUCAUUGCUCCUUGCAGCAUCAGGCUUAGGCCUACUUUUCCAAGGCUUUUUGCCUAUUGGAGCAUUGAUGCUCGAGGCUUCUUUGGCCUUGGCAUUGAAUGCACCUUCCUGAUGAUCUUCAGCUCUGCUAGCUCUUCUUUGUUCCUGAGCAUAAAAGGUGUUAAUUAGCUCAGUCAAAGAGAUGCUUGCAAGGUCUCUUGAGUCCUCUAGAGAGGAUAUCUUGGCCUCAUAUCUCUCAGGAAAAGUGGAGAGGACUUUCUCCACUAUCCUUGCCUCAUCAAAGUGCUCACCAAGGAGCCUUAUACUGUUAACCACUGCCAUGAUUCUAUCUGCAUACUGCUUCACUGUUUCUUCUUCCUUCAUCUUCAGAUUCUCGAAAUCCCUUCUUAAAUUCAACAGCUGUUGUUGUCUUGUCCUCUCAGUGCCUUGAAACUCCUCCUUAAGCUUGUCCCAGGCCUGUUUUGGAGUCUCACAGGCCAUAAUCCUUGUGAAGAUCACAUCUGACACUGAGUUUUGGAUGCAAGACAUGGCCUUAUGCCUCUUGGUUCUCUUAUCAGCAUGCUGCCUGAUUUGAGCCACUGUUGGAUUGGCUCUUAGUGGCUCUGGUUCAACAUCUGAGUUGACCACCUCCCACAGAUCAAAAGCCUGCAGGUAGGUUUUCAUUUUGACCACCCAUAUGUGGUAGCCUUCUCCAUUAAAGACUUGAGGUGCAGCUGGUGAAAAGUUUGAUGAAGCCAUAGAUUUGUAUAACAGAUCCCUUAAGAAGUAAGCUCUCGAUACCAAUUGUUGGUGCAAGAGGCAGCAACAAAAUUGUUUUGAAUUUUGCUUGGAUAGCAAGCCUCAAGCCUUGCUGAAGAAACAAACUCAGAAGCAAGAACAGAAACAAAAUGCGAAUGAAAACAAGAUAAAAGAGAGAGUUUUUUGAAUGAAAGGAGCUGAUAUUUUUCAUUAACACAUCAACAAGGCAUCAAGCCAUUACAUAUAUCAGUCAACAAGUAAAACAAACAAGUAAUCACCUAAUCAACUACCUAACACCACUAAUUUGCAUUGAAACUUACAAGAUUAGCUUGUACAACUUGCAUUGCUGAUUUUUCAGUCAAUCAAUAUCAAAACAUUUACCUACUUAGUUCAACAUGAACUAGAUUACAAAAUAAUCAAAAUGCAACUAAAAAAUGGCAAGUGGAUCGGCAACUUCAAGCUUCAGGCUUCAGCUCCUGCAGAUCAAGGCUCGAAUGCCUGCUACGUCAUCUUGCAUGGCCACCUUUGCAUGGAAAGCUAGUUGCAUGGGAACUAACUUUAACAGUUACAAGAGAGAUCAAUGGCCAGUAGCAAUCCAAGUUGUGGAUAGCUUUGCUUUGUUCCCUUCCAUGUAAGCAAUCCCUCAUCAAUAUAUCUAACCUCAAUGAUCUAUAUAGGCUCACCAUACACACCCUCCAGAGAUAAAAAUAUAUGUCCAGUAUCUAAGAUGUGAUGCUCAAUCCUUCGAUCUAAACUCACUUUUUCUGCCAUGGAAGUGAAAUUAUUGAGGCAUGGUGGUAUGGUACCAGAGAUUUUAUUUACCGAGAGGUCCAAGAUUUGUAGAUAUUUCAAUCCACAAAGUUGAUGGGGAAUCCUUCCCCUGAAUUGGUUCCCUUGAAGGCUAAGAAAAACCAACGAUGAAAGCUUCUGACUGAUCCACAUAGGUAUUUCUCCUGAUAAUUCAUUAUCACUCAAGUCGAGAAAUUUUAACUUGGCACAAUUCUGUAAAGAUGAAGGUAAUACUCCAGAGAAUUUAUUACCACGUAAACUUAGCAUUUCAAGAGAAAUCAGAGAUCCUAAGGAGCUUGGAAGUGGGCCUGAGAAACUAUUAUCACCCAAAUUCAAAGCUGUUAAAGGACUGAAACUUCCAAAACAGUCUGGAACCACUCCAGAAAAUUGAUUAUUUGAGAGAUCAAGCAAUGCCAAAGAGCCUUCAUCAUUAACAUUGCAAAUUGCAGAGACUGAACCAUUAAACUUGUUUUUGGAAAGGUUAAUGGUCCCAAUAACACCAAAUUCUAAAGAAAAACGUGGUAAUGGUCCUGAGAAAUUAUUAGAGCUUAGAUCUAGUUGGAUUAUGUGGAUAGAGUUAUUUGGAAAAGUACCACUGAUCUGAUUGAAAGACAUGUUUAUGUACGGUAAUCCCUAAAAUUUGUCCCAAAACCAGUAGGGAAGAGAAUCCGAAAUUCCUGAAGCAGAAAUAUCAAGGUAUUCCAAAACCAGUAGGAAGUCCAUUUGAGUCCGAAGCCAAUCUGGGAAAGCAGGCCCUAACUUGCAAGAGCAAAGCUUUAUUUGACUUAAUUGAAAAGGAGGAAUCCAUCCGGAGUUGAAUUUCAAAGUCAAAGAAGUGUAGGAUAAAUCCAACUCCUGUAAGUAGGUGAAAUUUGAGAAAUGAGCUUCGGAAAUCACAUCACCAUCAAAAGAAUUCCCUGUAAGCCGCCAGACAAGCAGGUUGGAAAGUUGUCCAAUGCUUUUGCUUAUGGAUCCAUUUAAAAGGUUGUACCCAAGAUCUAGAACGCUAAAAUCUGGUAGUUUUCCGAUUUCAUUCAACCCAGAAUCGCCCCUAACUUGAUUCUCAGCUAGUACCAAAAGAUUAUCACUCAGAUAAAGUUCUUGAAUAGCCUUCAUGUUCCCGAAAGCUUCUGGAAUUGGACCUUUCAACUGGUUACUUGAGAGGUCAAGUGAAACAAGGUUGCUGCUAACAUUAAACAACCAUGGAUAUAUGGCAGAAGAAGGGAGAUUAUUAUCAGAGAGAUCGAGAUAGGUGAGAGAUAUAGAAGAGUUGGCAAGGGAAAGUGAUGAAAAAGAUAUGCUUGGAAGAUCACAAUGUCUUAGACUUAGUUUUUGGAGCAAAGGAAGGUGGCUAAUGACUUGAGACCAAUCAUUGGCAUUGCUCAGGUUAGUGAAACUGAGAUCAACCUCUUUCAAACGAGAAAGAUGGGAAAGCCACUCAAGUUUUCCGACACUGAACAUUUUUUUGAAAUUAUGGCGAUACGUUACGUCUCCACCGUUACCACCCAAUCUAAGAGUUUCCAACAUUGAAAGGUUUCCAAGUAGAGAAGGAAUUGGACCUCUAAAAUUAGCAUUAGAGAGAUCCAGUAAUUUCAAUUUUUUCAAGGAACCAAAAAACUCUGGGAUGAGACUUCCAUUAAAAUCAUUACUGUUGAAAUUUAAAGAAGUCAAAUGAUGUAGUUUAAGCAGUGAAGGGCUAAUCGUACCUACUACAACCCAAGAUUUCAAGCUAAAAUCGAGAAUUUCGACGUAUCCCGUAAGGCUGUUGCAUUCGACGCCAUGCCAAAAACAGCACUCCUCAGUUUCCCAUAAAAAAAGGGCAUCGUCGCCUAACGAAUCCAUGGCUUGAAGGCUGUGCUUAAAUUCAAGUAGCGCUUUUUUCUCACUCUAUUUGGACAAUACGCUUGCUUCAGUGCAUUUCUCCUGAAGAAGAAGACAAUAUAUAGCAAAAAAUAAAACAAGUUUAUGAGAACUCUUACUUGACAUCGUAAUCAUCAAAUAUGAAGCAACAAGAAAUGAAAUAGUGUUUGAAUGGCACAUGAGCAUUCAUACUAUAUGGAUGUAUUAAACCUUUAAUGGACUACUUCAACAUUGAUUUAGAGUUUUGUGGUUUUCCUUUUUCUUGAAACGAGUAGUUGCUAAUUGGUAAGAAAAAUAUAGUGUUUGAAUGGAAGUGAUUGUAACACCUUAAUCUGACCCGAUCACUGGGUUCGAUCUAUAAUAUUUAAUUAAUUACCAUUCAAUCAUUCAUAGCAGUUUCAAAUCACACACAGUUGACACCAUUUUUUUUAUAAAACGGGGUCGACUUGGAUUUUGAAAAUGAAAACAAAAACGGGAGUCGCCACCAAUCUUUUUGAUGAGGUGUGAUCGGGUCACCUCGAAAAGUGGUUGUUUUUAAUAAAUGAUUUGAUUUUAUUAAAACAACGAUUUUGGUCCACGAAAUUCAGAAAAAUGGGUUCGGGAGUCGGUUACGUACGAGGAAGGAUUAGCACCCUCGUAAUGCCCAAAAUUGGUACCUAGUUGAUUAAUUAAUGUCUUAGUGUCGAAAAUUGAAAACUUUGAAGAAUUUUAAAAAUACAAUCCUUGUAUUGAAACGUUGAAAAUUUUCGGAAAGAAAAUGCAUAUUUCACGUUAAUCGAGAAAGAGAAUCAUAUCCAGUAAGUUAGGACACAACGUUUCGAAUUCCCGAUUCGCGAAUGAAUGCUAAAAAAUUGCUUGUUUAAAGAUAUUUAGCUAUCUCAGAUUUAAAAAAAAAAAGAUCAAGCCCAGUAAGUUAGGACUUGAUCUUUUCUUAAUUUCCAAGACCGUUUGAAACCUAAGUUUGAAAAGAUUCGUGUAUUUAAAUUUAUUGCGAAAAUCGAAACCCAAUAAGUUAGGGUACGGCUUUCUCAAAUCUAAACAUGAAAUUUUGUUUAUUCAAAAGUCAUAAUUUACAUUGAAUGAAAAAUAAUUUAAUGCGUAUUAGUAGAAAUCAAAACACGAUGUUAAUGCUCGUAACAAAACAAUAAUGAAUUCGUUAAUGUAAGUAUGAAUAAUGCGAGUAAUAACAAAAUAAUAAGUAAACAAAAUAAAAGGGACAAAGCGAUUACAUAUAAAAUAACAAGUAAAUAAAUAAAUAGAACUAAAAUACAUUUUAGUAGUAGUGCAUAUGAAUGAAUAAAUAAGCACCAAGUAACAAUCAUAACAAUGAAUAAAACAAAUAAAACUAUGUAAUAUAUAUAUAUAUAUAUGAAAAUAUAUGUAUGUAUAUACAGUCUUGAGUUAUAAAAUGAAAUAAAAAUAUAUGUAUAGAUAUAAUUUUAAAAUAUAAAAAUCUAUGAAGGUAUAUGUAUAAAGCUUUUAAGUUAUGAAAUAUAAAAAAAUAUGCAUAUAUAUUUAGUUUUAAAUAAAUAAAAAUGUACGUAUGCAUGUAGAUAAUUUUAAGCUAUAAGAUAUAAAAAUUAUGUAUAUGUAUGAAUUAUAAAAUAUAUAUGUACAUAUCAAAUUCGAAUAAUUACAAGAGGAGUAGAUUAUGUCUAUUUAUAGGCUUGUAAAAUCAUGUUCUAAUAGGAGUGUAGUAAGAUUGAAACACCUUUUUCUAAUUAAUAUCAAAUAGAUGGAGUUUAAUAAGGAUUAAAAAAUCUUAUUCUAAAAUAAAAUAAAAUAAAGUGUAGUUCUAUAGGGAUUUUAUUUUUAUUUUAUUUUAUCACAGUAUUUUAUUUAAAUAGGGAUUCGGAUUACUUAAUUCUAACAGACACCCCAAAAAAAUACAUGUAAAUGCACAAUUAGUAUUCUAUUACCAUUUUAAUGGUAGAGUGACAAAUUUGAUAGAUUUCUUUUUUGGGUGAUCAAAUUAAUAAAAGAAAAUGAUGACAAAAAUAGGAAUGAUAAAUUGAUGGGAUUAAUCUUAUAAGCACCAAUUAGCAAUUAUGGAUGUUUAUGCUUUCAAUUUUCUUCUUUAGUUGAUGACUUUACGAUCCAAUGUGAAUAAUGUCUCAAUAACGUGUGAUAGGGUGAAAUUUGAUAGGCCUACUCAACCUGACUUAGACUUUCUUUUUGUUUCAAUUAAUUUAAUUUACCCACAAUUUUCUUCUUCAGUUUCAUAUGAUGGGUCAUGAAUUCUUCAAUAAUAUGAAUCAGAAAAUACCUUGCAAUUGCAAUUGUUGUGUCCAAUUACUUGUUGACUAUAAGCACUAAUUAAGGCCUGUUUUGCUUUAAUUUGUUCUAAAUUCCACUUCAGCUUUACAAUGUAAUUUUUCAUUUUUCCACACUAGACUUUCUUUUUGUGUUAAUUUUUCAAUGAUAAUGGUAAAAUAUUUCUAGCUAUUUAAGUGUUCUUUAUUUCUUUAGAAUGGAAAAGUUUUAGUGGACAACUAGAGUUGCCUUUUGUUUUAGUUAAUUUAAUUUUCCAUCUAUUUUCUUCUUCAAUCUCCUAACUCACCACCAAAAACACAUUGCAACUAUUUUUUCUUUUUUCUUUUUUUGAGCUCAGCAAAUAAAAAUUUAUUAAUAAAACAAGUUUAUGAGAACUCUUACUUGACAUCGUAAUCAUCAAAUAUGAAGCAACAAGAAAUGAAAUAGUGUUUGAAUGGAAGUGAUUGUAACACCUUAAUCUGACCCGAUCACUGGGUUCGAUCUAUAAUAUAACGUAUUCAUUAAUUAAUUACCAUUCAAUCAUUCAUAGCAGUUUCAAAUCACACAUGUUGACACCAUUUUUUUUUAUAAAACGGGGUCGACUUGGAUUUUGAAAAUGAAAACAAAAACGGGAGUCGCCACCAAUCUUUUUGAUGAGGUGUGAUCGGGUCACCUCGAAAAGUGAUUGUUUUUAAUAAAUGAUUUGAUUUUAUUAAAACAAAGAUUUUGGUCCACGAAAUUCAGAAAAAUGGGUUCGGGAGUCGGUUACGUACGAGGAAGGAUUAGCACCCUCGUAACGCCCAAAAUUGGUACCUAGUUGAUUAAUUAAUGUCUUAGUGUCGAAAAUUGAAAACUUUGAAGAAUUUUAAAAAUACGAUCCUUGUAUUUGAUAGGCCCACUAUACCUGACUUAGACUUUCUUCUUCAAUCUCCUAACUCACCACCAAAAACACAUUGCAACUAUUUUUUCUUUUUUCUUUUUUUGAGCUCAGCAAAUAAAAAUUUAUUAAUAAAGGGCAAAGCACCAAACGAAUUCAUUUGUUAAAAUAUUUUGUCUUGCGAAUUAAAAUAGAAAAAUUUGUAAUUAUUUAAUUGAUUCUAAAUGAAUUCCACUUGUGUUGAUUGGUUAGAAUUAGGUAAUACUAUUGGUCAGCUAAAUCCUAGGCUAGAACUUAUAGGAUUGUUUAUUGAUAACGGAAAUAAUUUCGACGAGUUUCCUCUUGAUUAUCGAGAAGGUAAGGAAAGAUUAGUUGUUAGGCGUGGUAUCGGCAACUAAAUUUUAUUUAUUAAAAAACACUAAAUCUAUCUUUGCAUUGAUGAUCAAACUCAUGAAUCAAAUGAAGAUUUUACCUUUUGUUAGAUUUUCAAUAUAUUGGUUUUUCUUAUAUUUUAUUUUGUGAUUACAUAGUUUUAAUUUUAAAUUUAAACCCUUUGUUUUUAUUUUCUUUUACUAAAUAAAUGGAAUUAUCACUUGAUCCUAUGGAUUCAACUCUACUCAUUGUUAUAUACAAAAUUUAUAUUUUUUGAGUAGAAAUUUGUUUUUGUAGGUCUCAAAAAUCUUACAUUUAGUGGUGUUUUUUAAUUUUUAGGAUUUUACAAUUUAGUAAUGGAAUUAAGUUAUUUUCAUGCAUUUUAAGUGUUUUUAAGGUUUAAUAUUAAUUUUUAUGUUUUGUGUUUGGUUGUAAGAGAAACUCUCAACUUCAAGGCAGAUGGUAGAAAAUAGCCUUUAACGUCAUGACACGGCAAAGGCCAAGUCGUGAUUUGGAUCAGCUAAAAUCAAGACAUCAUGAAUGGUGUUGAUCAAUGCCCGACAUCGUGAUGAGAUUGUGGCUAAGUCAUGAUAUGGCUGACCUCACAAAUGGAUUAGCUAACGUUGCGACGUCAUGUAUGCUAAAGGAAAAAUAAGAGCAUUUUUAGGCCAUACGUCAUGACAUGAAUCAGUUGAUGUCGUGUGUUGUGGCAUUUUUUUGCAAUGCAAGAAAAUUUCGUGUUAAAUGACUAAAAACUAUAGAAUUUAUAAAUUAUUAAUCACAGGAAAUUAAAAAAAAAAAGUCUUUGUCGGGUUAAAGAAUUUAGUGUCAUAAAAAAUAAAAAUAAAUAAAUAAUUUCCCCAAAAAUGAAAAAAAACUAAAAAUUACUAUCUUUUCAUUAUUUAAUCAAAUAAAUCGAGUGUUUGGUUAAAAAAUAAAAUUAACUAAAUUAAUUAACUAACAAACACGAUAAAGAACAAAGUAAGAAAAUAAACGAUUAACAAUCAAGAAGUCAAAUAAUACCUGAAAAAAAUUCACCUAGAUUUUAUCUGUCACUAUCAAUCUAAAUUACACAAUUUCUUUACUUAGUAACUUGAUCCAUAGAAAUCUAUGAGUUAUGCUAAUAUCUUUUUCGAGAGUAAGGGCAACUUACUCUAGGUUGAUUAAUUGAAAUUUCUUUCUAAUUAAAACUCCUAUUAUCAAAUUAACUCAUGCUAUGGAUUCUUAUUUUAUAUUUGACUCUGAUUUGAUAGAUUUAUGUCGUCUUAUUUUUUCGAUUGCAUGCAACUUCACUCAAUUAUGCAAGACAUACUAUUAAACAAGGUCUAUUCCUCCUCUGAUUUAAGCACAUCACAUAUGGAUCAAUAAUCUAAAAGUAUCAAACCAAGAAUUAUGCACACAUAAUUGAGACAAGAUCUAAAUAUUUGUUGCAUAAAAUAAAAAUUAAAAGACAGAAUCUAUCAUAGGGUUCAUCUCCCCUAGGUAUUUAGAAAAUUAGUUCAUAAUUGAAAAUAAAAACAUCCAAGAUAUAAUAUAACUGAAAGAAAUAAAGAAGCUCAUGAUAAUCUCCUAAGAAAUCAACUAGGAAUCUUCAAUCUUGAUGGAUAUCUGCUUUAGAGUCGGCUUGAAUGGUGCUUUUUGAAUUGUUUUCCUGAAUAUUCUAUGACUUUCCCUUUUAUCUUCUUAUGUUUGUCAUAUAUACGUCUUACAAUGCUCGAAAAAUAAAAAAAAUGUUUUCUCACAAUUGAAGGUACAAAUCUGCGAAUUGACACAGCCUACCACAUUUCUUUAUGGUAGGCCUUCUGGGUCACAUGGUUGUGUAGCUAGGCCAUGUGGAAGGGUUCAGCUUGUGUGGCUCUUGUAAUUUGUUCCGAUUUUUUUUAUUUUCGCUCGUUUUUCACUCCUUUUGGUCUCAAAUGCUCUCCUAAGUAUAAAAACAUGAGUUUAAAAUAUUAAGAGCAUAAAAUUCAUCAUUAAAAUCGAAUAAUCACCCAAAAAUGCACUAAGAAUGAGGUUAAAACAUUUUACUUUUAGCACUUAUCAAAGCACAACAAAAUAAUGCAUAUAUACUGUCAAAUAAAUUUUGAUAUCUGAUAUAUGAUAAAUUUUGUUUGUGCAUUGGGGUGGGACUUGUGUAUAUCAGGCAAGUGUGAGCAAAUAUAUCUUUGUCAUAUCUAGUGGCACAAUCACACAUAUCUUUGUAAAAGGCGAUAAAUCGCUUAAUGAAUUGGCAGCCAAGAUGCAAAUAUUCUAAAAAGUGUCAUACCGACACUAAAAGAUGUGUAGGGCUGGAUGGGUAUUCAAUAUGGUGUGUUGGAUGGUUGGAGAUGGUGUGUAGCGGAUAGGGGUAUGAUUGUAAAUCUACAUCUAUUGUGUUCUUAUAUGGUUUUUAUUUUUGAUAUAUGUCUAAUUAAUUUCUAUUGAUGAUAUGAUAUGUUACACACUGAGUUUCGAAACUCAUUCUUUGCUUAUUUGCUACUUUAAGGUAACCCUCAGACUUAGGAUGGGUCGGGGCGACAAGAGUUCGGAUAAAAUAUUAUACUUUUCUUAUGGUUAAUUAAAUAUUAGGAUUGUUGUGUUUUGUUAUUUUUGAACUGUUUUAGACAUUUUGGGGAUUUCGUUUUUAACCGUUUAUUGAUUUUAAAGGGAAACUUCACGAACAUCAAAACGAUAGAUUUUCAAAACACGACUUAUGUUUUCCAAAUUGAAUUUAACUAAAAAUUUCGCUGGAAAUAAAUGUGUUUAAUCGUGUUUUCCAAAAUUGAACUUGACUGAGAUUUUUCCCGCAGUGCAACAGUAAACAUUUUCAAAGUAUAAUUAAUCAAUAGUUUCUUCGAAUCUGUUAAUGAAGAUAUGUUUUUUAGUAAACUGGAUUUUUACGUAACGACCAUAACUUCUAGACCGGAAUUGGGUGUUACAAAAUUACUUUUGACAAAAAAAUAAAUAUGUACAAACCAAAUAUAACAUAAACGUAUUACAAAAAAAGUGAAAGAAAUUAGAAAUAAUCAAAAAGAAUUUAUUCAAAAAACAAAAAGAAAUCAUCAAAAAGACAAACAUGUCUUAAUUUAUAAGUUUUUUAUUAAGAUUUUCUCACAUGCAGGAAAAACCACCUUCAGUUGCAGUUCUAAUCAGACCUGAAAAAUAAUAAUAUACAACUUUGUUAUUUAGUUAAGGAUAUAUUUCUCAACGUUGAAAGAACUUUGUUAAGGAGUGAAGAAAGUCAAUUUAUUACCUUGUUGAAACACCAUUGAUUCUCCUCACUAACCUUGCUUUCAGCAGAACAAAUGUAACAUAAACCCAAUCCUUUGCAUUAUCCAUGUAACGAUAAUAUGAAUGCCUCCAUGAACGCCAGAAGAACACAACACUGCAAAAUCCCCAGAAACCCACAGCAAAUCCAAGUCCCGUGCCAGUGUAAAACCAUUUCAUGAACUCAUCACAAUCUUCUUCACUUCCUACUGCAGGUUUGCCAGGACGUGGUUCCACCAUUGAGCAAUUUGGUGAAAUAGGAGGACCACAAAGUCCUCUAUUAUGGGAAAAUGACGAAGGAUCAAAGCUCUGUAGUUGAGUGCUGGUUGGAAUUUUUCCAGACAAGUCAUUAUAAGAAAAGUUCAAGUUGCUUAGAAAUGUUAAUUCAGAUAAGCUUGUCGGGAUGUUUCCUAAAAACUUGUUUCUUGACAGGUCAAGCACCUCUAGUUGUCUUAUAUGCCCAAUCUUUUGAAGAAUUUUUCCGUUAAAAUGGUUUCUUGACAAGUUCAAUACAACCAGUUCUUGAAGACUACUUAAUUCUUCAGGAAUCUCUCCUGUUAAAUUGUUACAAGAGAGAUCAAUGGCUAGUAGCAAUCCAAGUUGUGGAUAGCUUUGCUUUGUUCCCUUCCAUGUAAGCAAUGCCUCAUCAACAUAUCUAACCUGAAUGAUCCAUAUAAACUCACCGUUCACACCCUCCGGAGAUAAAAAUCUAGGUCCAGUAUCUAAGAUGUGAUGCUCAAUCCUUCGAUCUAAACUCACUUUUUUUGCCAUGGAAGUGAAAUUAUUGAGGCAUGGUGGUAUGGUACCAGAGAUUUUAUUUACCGAGAGGUCCAAGAUUUGUAGAUAUUUCAAUCCACAAAGUUGAUGGGGAAUCCUUCCCCUGAACUGGUUCCCUUGAAGGCUAAGAAAAACCAACGAUGAAAGCUUCUGAACGAUCCACAUAGGUAUUUCUCCUAAUAAUUCAUUAUCACUCACGGCGAGAAAUUUUAACUUGGCACAAUUCUGUAAAGAUGAAGGUAAUACUUCAGAGAAUUUAUUACCACGUAAACUUAGCAUUUCAAGAGAAAUCAGAGAUCUUAAGGAGCUUGGAAGUGAGCCUGAGAAACUAUUAUCACCCAAAUUCAAAGCUGUUAAAAACGGGAAACUUCCAAAACAGUCUGGAACCACUCCAGAAAAUAGAUUAUUUGAGAGAUCAAACAAUGUCAAAAAAACUGCACCAGUAAAAUUGCAAAUUGGAGAGACUGAACCAGUAAACUUGUUUUUGGAAAGGUUAAUGGUCCCCAUAUUGUAGUCUAAAGAAAAACGUGUUAAUGGUCCUGAGAAAUUAUUAGAGCUUGGAUCUAGAUGGCUUAUGUGGAUAGAGUUAUUUGGAAAAGUACCACUGAUCUGAUUGAAAGACAUGUUUAUGUACUUUAAACCAUGAAAUGAGCCCCAAAACCAGUAGGGAAGAGAAUCUAAAAUUCCUGAAGCCGAAAUAUCAAGGUAUUCCACAUAAGAAAUAUGAUGGUCAGGGGUUAGGAUGCCCAUUUGUGUCCGAAUCCAAUCUGGGAAAUGAGGCCCUAACUUGCAAGAGCAAAGCAUUAUUUGAGUCAGUUGAAAAGGAGGAGUCCAUCUGGAGUUGAGUUUCAAAGUUAAAGAAGUGUAGGAUAAAUCCAACUUCUGUAAGUAGGUGAAAUUUGAGAAAUGAGCUUCGGAAAUCACAUCACCAUCAAAAGAAUUCCCUGCAAGCCGCAAGACUUGCAAGUUGGAAAGUUGUCCAAUGCUUUUGCUUAUGGAUCCAUUUAAAAGGUUGUACCCAAGAUCUAGAACCAUAAAAUCUGGUAGUUUUCUGAUUUCAUUCAACACGGAAUCUCCCCUAACUUGAUUCGCAGCUAAUAUCAAAAGAUUAUCACUCAAAUAAAGUUCUUGAAUAGCCAUCAUGUUCCCGAAAGCUUCUGGAAUUGGACCUUUCAACCGGUUACUUGAGAGAUUAAGGGAAACAAGGUUGCUGCUAACAUUAAACAGCCAUGGAUAUAUGGCAGAAGAAGGGAGAUUAUUAUCAGAGAGAUCGAGAUAGGUGAGAGAUGUAGAAGAGUUGGCAAUGGAAAGUGAUGAAGAAGAUAUGCUUGGAAGAUCACCGUCGAAACCAUUUUUUUGAAAAAUAAAAAUUUUAGGUGUCGACUUUAAAAAACAAAAUAAAUGGGAGUUGCCACCAAUCUUUUAUUGAGGUGUGAUUGGAUCACUAAAAAACGACUUUGGUCUACGAGUUUUAGAAAAACGGAUCCGGGAGUCAGUUACGUACGAGGAAGGAUUAGCACAUCGUAACGCCCAAAAUUGGUACCUAGUUAAUUAAUUAGUGUCUUAAGGUUGAGAAUUUGGAAAAAACGUGAUCCUUAGCAAAACUUGAAAGGUUACGUAUUAAGACCCUUAUUAUUUCUGAGAAAGAAGAUACCACACCCAAUGCGUUAGGGCACAGCAUUCUAAUUUUCCCCAAAAUGAAUUGGGCCAAAAUACUUGUACAAUAAAACUUUAAAAGAACAUCCACUUAUCCAAGAUUUAAGAAAUCACACCUAAUACGUUAGGGCACGAUUUCUUUAGAAUCCCAAACUUGGAAUAUUUCCUUUACUUUAAAAGAACAUCCACUUAUCCAAGAUUUAAGAAAUCACACCCAAUACGUUAGGGCACAAUUCCUUUAAAAUCCCAAACUCGGAAUAUUUCCUUUAUUAUUUUUAAAAAAAAAAUUCAUUUCAAGAAAUCAAUGCGUCACAUCCAAUACGUUAGGACACAACGUAUUGAAUUCCCAAUAAUGAGUUUUUAUUUUUUUGAUUAAAGAGAAAUGCUCGAUUGUUAGAUUUAACAAAGAAAAUCGGAACCCAAUAAGUUAGGGCUCAAUUUCCUUGAAAAUCCUAAAUACAAACAUUAUCUCAAAAAAAAUUCUAUUUUAAAAUUUGAGUAAAAAAAAUGAUGUAACCUUAUUUUAUACGUACAAAUGCUAUAAUAAUAAUAACAACAAUAAUAAAUACAUCAAUGACAUAAAAAUAAUAUAAACAAAUGAAUAAACGAAAUAAAAAAACAGUAAUCCAUGAUAUGCAAAAUAUUAAAUGUAAACACCAUUAUACAAUGAAUGGGAAAGCAAACAAAAUAAAUAAAGAUCAGAAGACGUAUAAUAUACACAUGGAAUUUAUGAAGAUAAAAAAUAUACAUAUAAUUUACAAAUAAAAUUUUGGGUUAUAGAAUUUAUAUAUAAAUAUAAUACAUAAUAUACUUAUGCAAAUAAAGAAAAAAAUAUAAUUAUACGUACAUAUAUAAAUAUAAUAAAAAAUAGGUAUAUUUUAAAAAAGAAAAAGUGAGUAUGUAAUCAUAUAAAAAAACGUACAUAUAUACAAAGAAAUAUGAAAAUAUUUAUUAAAAAAAUAUAGGAAAAUAUUAGUUUAAAAAAAAUAUUAGCUGAAAAAAUAAGUAUGUGAAUCAAAAAUAUACAUAUAUAUCUUUAAAAAAAUGAAAAUACAAAUAAUAAUUACACUAUCNNNNNNNNNNNNNNNNNNNNNNNNNNNNNNNNNNNNNNNNNNNNNNNNNNNNNNNNNNNNNNNNNNNNNNNNNNNNNNNNNNNNNNNNNNNNNNNNNNNNNNNNNNNNNNNNNNNNNNNNNNNNNNNNNNNNNNNNNNNNNNNNNNNNNNNNNNNNNNNNNNNNNNNNNNNNNNNNNNNNNNNNNNNNNNNNNNNNNNNNNNNNNNNNNNNNNNNNNNNNNNNNNNNNNNNNNNNNNNNNNNNNNNNNNNNNNNNNNNNNNNNNNNNUAAAAAUAAAUAAAAUUCGCAGUGGUGUCACCUCUCCUUUUUUUUUUAAAUCGUAAAUAAAUAAAAAAUAAUCGAACGAAAAAUAGUAAACCACCUUUAAAAACUGCCAAUCGUUCCCUUUUUUUAUUCCUCCCUUUCCUCCUUUUUUUUUUUACAAUGAAGGGAGAGGCCUCUAUUUAUAGCUGAGCCUCCCCAAAUCCAACGGUACAAAUCAGUUACAUCAACGGCUGAGAUUAAAGGGUAUCUACAAAUUAAAUCUCUAAGAUUACAAAAUCAUAUAUUCUAAGAUUGCAUAUCAUAUCUAAGAUUAUAUAUCAUAUCUAAGAUUGCAUAUCAUAUCUAAGAUUGCAUAUAUCAUAUCUUGGAUUGCAUAUCAUAUCUAAGAUUGCAUAUCCUCAAAAAUUAUGUUUCCAUAUGUGAGCCCGGGCUAAAAUUGGGUAUUACAGCUACCCCUCUUUGCUCGUUCUUGUGUAACAAGGACGAAGCAGACUUUAAAAAUGCCCGAUUUUGUCCGGUCGUGCUGAACCUUGGUACAUCUUCAGAAGUAUAGGAAUUAGUGCCAUCUUCAGUCUGCCUCAUUGCAACUUCAGGAGGAUAAGACUUGCUUAUUUAGUCUGCUCCACUGUAACUUCAGGGAGAUAAGACUAGAUGCGAUCUGCUCUCUGUAACUUUAGAGAGAUAAGAUCUGAGGUUUUAAUCCGCUCCAAUGCAACUUCAGGGAGAUAGGAUUAUCGGCUUUAAUCUGCUCCACUGCAACUUCAAGGAGAUAAGACUUGUCAUCUUUAGUCUGCCCCACUGCAACUUCAGGAGGAUAAGACUUAAGAUCUGAGGUUUUAAUCCGCUCCACUGCAACUUCAGGGAGAUAGGAUUAUCGGCUUUUAUCUGCUCCACUGCAACUUCAGGGAGAUAAGACUUGCCAUCUUCAGUCUGCCCCACUGCAACUUCAGGAGGAUAAGACUUGCUUACUUAGUCUGCUCCACUGCAACUUCAGGGAGAUAAGACUAGAUGCGAUCUGCUCUCUGCAACUUCAGGGAGAUAGGAUUAUCGGCUUUAAUCUGCUCCACUGCAACUUCAGGGAGAUAAGACUUGCCAUCUUCAGUCUGCCCCACUGCAACUUCAGGAGGAUAAGACUUGCUUACUUAGUCUGCCUCUAGUGCAACUUCAGGGAGAUAAGACUAGAUGCAAUCUGCUUUCUGCAACUUCAGAGAGAUAAGAAUUGAGGUUUUAAUCCGCUCCACUGCAACUUCAGGGAGAUAGGAUUAUCGACUUUAAUCUGCUCCACUACUACUUCAGGGAGAUAAGACUUGUCAUCUUCGAUCUGCUCCGCUCGAUGCAAUAAGGCAAGAUCUACUAUUUUCACUGAUCUGUUCUCCAGAGAACAUGACCUGUAUAGUGAACCUAAUUAUGCCUAAUGAUUAGGAUGGCAUGAUCAAAAUGCAUCAAAUGCUCAUAACUAGACAUGUGUGAAUGGUGUUUGCAUGAAUGCAAAAUUUAUUUUUCCGAGAAUGAUCCCGCUUAGGUUGUCAUUACUCGAAGUUUAUUAAGGCUUUGUGACUGACGUGCUACAACGCCCUCUUGCUUGACUGGCUUUUCUGAAGAAACAUUUAGCCAGGCUGUCCCCCACUAUGAACCUCCAAGUUUAAUCCAUUGGGAUGCAAAAUUUGUACCAUCUUUCUUCUACCGUGACCCAAGGGUAUAAAUAUCUGGCCUUUUCUCAAUCCUCUCCUAUCNNNNNNNNNNNNNNNNNNNNNNNNNNNNNNNNNNNNNNNNNNNNNNNNNNNNNNNNNNNNNNNNNNNNNNNNNNNNNNNNNNNNNNNNNNNNNNNNNNNNNNNNNNNNNNNNNNNNNNNNNNNNNNNNNNNNNNNNNNNNNNNNNNNNNNNNNNNNNNNNNNNNNNNNNNNNNNNNNNNNNNNNNNNNNNNNNNNNNNNNNNNNNNNNNNNNNNNNNNNNNNNNNNNNNNNNNNNNNNNNNNNNNNNNNNNNNNNNNNNNNNNNNNNNNNNNNNNNNNNNNNNNNNNNNNNNNNNNNNNNNNNNNNNNNNNNNNNNNNNNNNNNNNNNNNNNNNNNNNNNNNNNNNNNNNNNNNNNNNNNNNNNNNNNNNNNNNNNNNNNNNNNNNNNNNNNNNNNNNNNNNNNNNNNNNNNNNNNNNNNNNNNNNNNNNNNNNNNNNNNNNNNNNNNNNNNNNNNNNNNNNNNNNUAGUAAAGAAGGAUAACAAAGAAAUUGAUUGGGAAUGUGUAUCUUGGAAAAGAAUGAAGUAUUCCAAGAACAACAAAUUCAACAUAAAUAGUAUGAAAAUUGGGUGCCACAGAUAUCGCAGCAUGAACUUCUCUGCACAAACUUUCUGAAGACCAUUCUGAGUUUGACAUGUGCUUAGGAGAUCUACAGUACUCUGUUGAUGCCCCAAGAUGUCGCAUACCCUUUCCUGUUGAUUCAGGUAUAGCAAGACCACUGUCUAUCCUAUUUUCAUCAGUAAUUUGAGCUACUCUGAUUACCUCUUGCCCCAUUCUAAUCAAUAUUUGAGUCGCCCUUUUCGGGUUUUCAACUCAAAUCCACAUUUGGUCUAUGGCGCCCUUUGUGGGUUUUCACCUUAGCCUCUCCAUUUUAUUUUCUUUUUCUUUUUCUUUUUAUCACAUUCAUUUUUUUUUGAGCUCGCAUCAUUUUCUUUUGGCACAUUUGACCAUGAUGGAUAACUUUGAACAUUCCUCUUCAAUUAGAUCUAAAAGCUCAGAGUGAAAGAAUCUUGUCUUCAAUAGGCAAAACCACGAUGGGCCCAAGAGAAAGUCAUUGCCCCAGCAGAGUAGUUUUUUUUUUUGCCAUCUUUUCUUUGGGCAAUAUGGCAUUAAUCGUGAACAGACUGUAAACUUUUGAUAUUGUGAUGUUGUUCAAAUUUAGUACAUUGUCAGAUGUGAUCCUUUUGGCGUUCCAUAUGAUUGACAUACGAAGCAGCUUCCACACAUUUAGUAAAGUAAUUGACGAUCAUAAAGAUGAAUUGAUGAUCGUCAGACUCUUUUGGCGAGAUCGACCAAAUGACCUCCAUGCCCCACAUAAGGAGAAGUCAUGUACCCUGAUAAUUCUUUGUAGGGUGAGAUCCAUUUUUCGACUUGUUCAACCAUCCUUAACAGGUCCAGAAAUAGGCUACGAUCUAUGACAUCUUCAAAGUUAUGAGAUCCCUCUAAACACAUGUCUCGCUCAGAAGGAGAUUCUGAGUCAGUAGCAGCGUCACUCAUGUCAUUGAUAUCUGAGGACCCAUAGUAAUUGCAAAAGAAUAUACAAAAGAAUGUGUGAAUUUACGAAUGAUUAUUUAUACAAUAUAAUUAUGAACGAAAGAAUGAUGUGGAAGAAAAUCCAAAAGAAUAAAAGAAUAAUUACUCGCAAAGAAUGAAAAAAUAUUGGCACAAAUGCAAAGAUGUAUGUUAUUAGAAUAAUGAUGUUCAGACAUGAGCCUAUUUCAUAAAGGAAUUCCUAUCGUUUUUAGGCUAAAAGCAACAAGAAUGUUCUGAACAUUACUCUAAACAAGCUCUAAAGACUACAGAGAUUUCUUCCGCAANNNNNNNNNNNNNNNNNNNNNNNNNNNNNNNNNNNNNNNNNNNNNNNNNNNNNNNNNNNNNNNNNNNNNNNNNNNNNNNNNNNNNNNNNNNNNNNNNNNNNNNNNNNNNNNNNNNNNNNNNNNNNNNNNNNNNNNNNNNNNNNNNNNNNNNNNNNNNNNNNNNNNNNNNNNNNNNNNNNNNNNNNNNNNNNNNNNNNNNNNNNNNNNNNNNNNNNNNNNNNNNNNNNNNNNNNNNNNNNNNNNNNNNNNNNNNNNNNNNNNNNNNNNNNGUGCACCUGUGUCGUACCAUUUGAGAUACGGGGGCUGUGAAGGUUUCACAUGUAAAGGAGCAACAACAUGCGCAUUGAAUAAGCUUUGAUACAGCUCCUUGUACGAUAUUGAAAUUGGCGUGAACUGGAGCUUUUCAGUACCUGGCUUCACAUAUGAUUCUUGCUUUAAAGGAACCUGAUGGCUGGUGGUUUCUGUCUUUAACCGACCCACAGCGAUUGGUCUUGAGUGGCCCUUGUUAUAUCUGCCUUCAUUUUUCCCCUUAUUCCCUUUCUUCCUUGAGGCUUUUAUAAUAUCUGGGUGCUCUACCUUCACCUGUUUUAUUUCUGAUGAAUUGUCAAGAGCAACAGGAUUGGAUUUUGAGUUUGUCAGGCGAUAUACUGGUGUCGAUGUACCAGUCAGAUAUUGUCGGGAUCUGAUAGUAAAGAGUGCCUCUUGUGGACAUGCGUCUGGUUGGGCCUGGACACUUAUCAAGGUAAAAUCUGGAGAAUAUAUAGGGUCCUCAUUAUCAUCCCCAAAGUGAGCCGCUGGGCUUUUCCCUUUACCCAAUAAUUGGGUUAGCUGGCUCAUAUUUAUUUGGAAUUCUAGCAUCUGAUUCCUCAUUUCUUGUUGAAAUUCAGUCAAUUGCUCUUGCAUCUGUAUUUGCAUUUGCUCUAUUCUCUCCAAUCUUUGAUCCAUGCCUCCUGACUUUACUCGGGUACUAUAACGGUGUUCGGUUGAUUGGUUGGUUUCCAGAUUAACUGAGGAAUGAUGUAAAUUAAUUAGAAUCUUUUAAUGUUUUUAAAUGCAUAUGAAGUAAUGCAAUGCAUGAAUGCAAAAAGACGUCAAUUUUGAUUUAAUUCCAUAUAAGAAAACCUUACUAGAAAGCAAAUUUCUUUACAUAAAGCGAAUUACAAAUAAGACUUUGCCCUAGUACCCAGAACUCUGAUCUUCCUAAGUAACAAAACUAAUUCUUGCCCCCGAUCCGAUUCUAAUUCAUACUUCAUACUUAGCAUGUCAGCCUGUACUGCUAAAAUCUGUACGUAAUCAGCUACUUCUCGAAUCUAGACCACAGCUUCCUUCAUAAGAUGAUCUCUACUCCUAACUUGACUCUAAAAGUGGUGGAGCUGUUCAUUAUUACUACUUCCGUUUGUGUUCAAGUGCUUGAUCUGGAUCUCACAAUUUUGCAGCACCGUUUCUAACUCUUCCAAUGAAUGCACUUGCUGUCUCUCUUUUGCUUAACUCGUGUAGUGACCCACUACUCACUCAUCCUUGUUAUACCUAUCAGCUUCUUUGAAAAGGUUGGCACAUUUACCGUUCUCGAGUAAACUCUAUCCACUUGAAACUUUGAACAUCGGAGUAAAGCCACAUAUUUUCUAUCGUAGGUACCAAAUCGACAUUCCCAAACGUGAAGCAACUAUGAGCAGGAUUCCAAAACUGGGCGAGGGCUCGAAAUAAAUGUUUGUCUACCUUCACAUCAAGCAAAUAAGGCAAGUCCCCAUAAUUGUCGUAAAAUAACUGCCUAGCCUCAUUAUUCCAUUGAUUCCAAAUUUCUUUCAACUCCUGCAAAUUGUUUUGAGUUACACUGAUGCGAGUAAAAUCCCAUAAUUCUGAUACAUACCCAUCGGCUAGGCUAUCACCCUUUUCUUGCUGCGUUGUUUCAGACCAAGUUUGGACAGCCACAUUGUCCUCCACUUUAUCAAGAAACCCUUUUUCCAUGUUAAGCUUUCUAUCUAGCAACCGAAUCUGAACUGACGCCUUUUAUGAUGAAAUGAAAUGCCAUGUCAUGCAAAUAAAACACCAAAAGUCAGUAUAACAUAGAAACAUAAGAUAUAAUCAAGAAAUAGUAAAGAUCCCUAAUUGAAUAUCUACUAUGGUUUAGUAUAGUUUUACCUAGGGUGGAUUCUUAAGGUUCAUUAUAUGAAGUUUGGCUUCUAGAGUAAAGGUACCCGAACCAGCAGAUUCCUCAAUCCUAACCCAUUAUAGGCUCAUAUGGAUCGAGUUCGGUUCAGGGGAAUACAUUUCCCUAUGGCUGCACGGAGAUGAAAAUCUCACGAAGACAUAGGUACGGAUGUAUCCCGGAAGCAAUCCACUACCCUACACGGAGAUAAAAACCUCACGAAGGCAUAGCUUCUCACUCCCACUUAAAAGGGCCAAAAUUGUUCAACUCAUGAAAAGCAUAAUGCAAACAAUAUUUAAACAAGAAGGCAAGGAAUGAAAAAGGAUGUUAUGAGUUUUUUUAAAAAAAUAUUUUCUCGACCAUAAGACAAAAGUUAAUUAACUUUGUGGCUCGACUCUCUUAUUGUUUUUAAAAAAGUCCCCAGUGGAGUCGCCAAGCUGUCGAAACCAUUUUUUUGAAAAAUAAAAAUUUUAGGUGUCGACUUUAAAAAACAAAAUAAAUGGGAGUCGCCACCAAUCUUUUAUUGAGGUGUGAUUGGAUCACCUAAAAAACGACUUUGGUCUACGAGUUUUAGAAAAACGGUUCCGGGAGUCAGUUACGUAUGAGGAAGGAUUAGCACCCUCGUAACGCCCAAAAUUGGUACCUAGUUAAUUAAUUCGUGUCUUAAGGUCGAGAAUUUAGAAAAAACGUGAUCCUUAGCAAAACUUAAAAGGUUACGUAUUAAGACCCUUAUUAUUUCAGAGAAAGAAGAUACCACACCCAAUGCGUUAGGGCACAGCAUUCUAAUUUUCCCCAAAAUGAAUUGGGCCAAAAUACUUGUACAAUAAAACUUUAAAAGAACAUCCACUUAUCCAAGAUUUAAGAAAUCACACCCAAUACGUUAGGGCACGAUUCCUUUAGAAUCCCAAACUUGGAAUAUUUCCUUUACUUUAAAAGAACAUCCACUUAUCCAAGAUUUAAGAAAUCACACCCAAUAUGUUAGGGCACAAUUCCUUUAAAAUCCCAAACUCGGAAUAUUUCCUUUAUUAUUUUUAAAAAAAAUCUUCAUUUCGAGAAAUCAAUGCGUCACAUCCAAUACGUUAGGACACAACGUGUUGAAUUCCCAAUAAUGAGUUUUUAUUUUUUUGAUUAAAGAGAAAUGCUCGAUUGUUAGAUUUAACGAAGAAAAUCGGAACCCAAUACGUUAGGGCUCAAUUUCCUUGAAAAUCCUAAAUACGAACAUUAUCUCAAAAAAAAAUUUCUAUUUUAAAAUUUGAGUAAAAAAAAUGAUGUAACGUUAUUUUAUACGUACAAAUGCUAUAAUAAUAAUAACAACAAUAAUAAAUACAUCAAUGACAUAAAAAUAAUAUAAACAAAUGAAUAAACGAAAUAAAAAAACAGUAAUCCAUGACAUGCAAAAUAUUAAAUGUAAACACCAUUAUACAAUGAAUGACUCAUCCAUAGAAUUAACUUGUAGCAAAGGUCUUGGGANNNNNNNNNNNNNNNNNNNNNNNNNNNNNNNNNNNNNNNNNNNNNNNNNNNNNNNNNNNNNNNNNNNNNNNNNNNNNNNNNNNNNNNNNNNNNNNNNNNNNNNNNNNNNNNNNNNNNNNNNNNNNNNNNNNNNNNNNNNNNNNNNNNNNNNNNNNNNNNNNNNNNNNNNNNNNNNNNNNNNNNNNNNNNNNNNNNNNNNNNNNNNNNNNNNNNNNNNNNNNNNNNNNNNNNNNNNNNNNNNNNNNNNNNNNNNNNNNNNNNNNNNNNNNNNNNNNNNNNNNNNNNNNNNNNNNNNNNNNNNNNNNNUAUACAUAUAUAUAUAUAUUUAAAAAAAUGAAAAUAAAAAUAAUAAUUACACUAUCAAUUAAUAAAAUAAAUAAAAAGAACAUAAAAAAACUAAAUUGAAUUGCAAUUAAAAAAUCUGGGGUAAAUCCGCAAAUAAAUAAAAGUAAAAGGACUAAUUUGAACGCGCGAAUUACGUAGAGGGGCUAGAAGGAAAAUUUUCCCUUCUCCUCUAAAACGGCGUCGUUCAAGUGGAUCAAAUUGAAAUUUAAAAUAAAUAAAAGGGUAAAUUAAAAAAAUAAAAAAAACUUAAUUACAAAAACAUUAAAAGGCGGAGGGGCUAAAUAAAAAUAAAUAAAAUUCGCAGUGGUGUCACCUUCUCCUUUUUUUAAAUCGUAAAUAAAUAAAAAAUAAUCGAACGAAAAAUAGUAAACCACCUUUAAAAACUGCCAAUCGUUCCCUUUUUUUAUUCCUCCCUUUCCUCCUUUUUUUUUUUACAAUGUUGGAGAGGCCUCUAUUUAUAGCUGAGCCUCCCCAAAUCCAACGGUACAAAUCAGUUACAUCAACGGCUGAGAUUAAAGGGUAUCUACAAAUUAAAUCUCUAAGAUUACAAAAUCAUAUAUUCUAAGAUUGCAUAUCAUAUCUAAGAUUGCAUAUCAUAUCUAAGAUUGCAUAUAUCAUAUCUUGGAUUGCAUAUCAAAUCUAAGAUUGCAUAUCCUCAAAAAUUAUGUUUCCAUAUGUGAGCCCGGGCUAAAAUUAGGUAUUACAAUCACAAUGUCUUAGACUUAGUUUUUGGAGCAAAGGAAGGUGACUAAUGACUUGAGACCAAUCAUUGGCAUUGCUCAGGUUAGUGAAGCUGAGAUCAACCUCUUUCAAACGAGAAAGAUGGGAAAGCCACUCAAGUUUUCCAACAUUGAAAACCCUACCGUUGCCACCCAAUCU
Molecule: long non-coding RNA, 70427 nt
Filed under: Gossypium raimondii (Peruvian cotton)
Lineage: Eukaryota; Viridiplantae; Streptophyta; Magnoliopsida; Malvales; Malvaceae
Description: long non-coding RNA (GRAI_LNC007632)
Rfam family: MIR7502 microRNA precursor family (bases 39208-39352)
Source: RNAcentral